ACUGAUUCAGGUGAUGGAUUCGGAACUUCAGUUUUAGAUGUUUGGGAUUCAUGCUUUGCAGCAGCUUGCAGCACCCGGUUUUGAACAUCUGAAGAUGAAGGUGAUGUAGGUAAACCAAUGCGGUUGUUUUCCAGUUUUCCUGCUGCCCAUGAAAAUGCCUGGACUCCAAGUCUAACAGGAGAGAGAAAACACCUUCAAAGAAGCGUUUGAAAUCCUAGUUAAUCAAGAUCUCAACAAUCCAAAAACUUGGUUAAACAUGAUCCAACUACUGAAAAGAAUCCAACUGUGAAAAUGAUUAAAUAACUUCUAAACGUCUGGUGGAGGUUAGGAAAUAUGAACCUUGAUAAUGUCAUAGGCAGUUUGCUUAUCAACACGACUCAGACUUCUGACAUGAUCAGAACAUGGUCAAGAACCUAGUGUUGAAAGAACAUUUAGACAAAGAAGAGAUUUGCUAUAUAUAAAUUUUUCCGUGCCCUUUACUGUGCAAACACCAAGGUUCAUUUUGUUAAUAAAAACUCAUCGUCCCAGUAAACAUGUGAUUUGGGUUGCUAAAUAAUGUUGUACUAACAUAUGACACCUAUCUAUCUAACAUGAUACUAGGUGCGUCUUAUAUAAUUCAUUGAACAUGAAUAAACAUAGACUUGAUUUCAGACCUGGUUUCCAUUAUGAUUUACAAAAUUGUGCCAAUUACACCAUAAAUACACAUCUUGCUUAAAAUCUUCAGGGCCAUUGUAAGAAGCAACCCGCUGAUAAAUAGUCUGGCAGAGUGUGAGAAACCAAUAAUUAGAGAAACUCAAGGUUCACUUAACUAAAUUUAGCAAUGACAUAAACCUUUCCCUAGGACACAUGCAAAAUAGACAAAGGGAAUCUAGCUUAAUGGUCGUAUACAUGCUAUUUUCAUGGAUUACAUCAAAGGAUCUGAGAAUUAGCACAAUAUCAGAAUGUGUGAAGUUUGUUUUAAUCAUUAUCAGCUUACAAAUCAACAUCUAUGUGUGUGUGAAAGAAACAUUAACCAGAGCACUAUAACAAAUGAAAGUGUACCUGACUGAGGCCAAUGAUGGCAAUAAAUUGUAAGGUCUUCUCCCACUCUGAAACAAAGUUCAAGCUUGGUUGGCAAGAAGAAUGUGAGGAAAGCAACAAAAAAGAAAAGAAAAAAAUAAAGAAAACCAGAAUUUAUAUCAUUGGUUCUAUAUAAUACAACUGAAGUAUUUCAAACUCUUCAACAUUUUGGGGAGUUGUUCUUGAAAAGUAAUAGAGAGCCUGUCCAUGAGGAAGAAAAUGUACAAACCUAGCAAUGCAUAUGAUGCUGCAGCAAAACCCUGUCCACAGCGUAAAUAUAGUAUAAGUAAAGGAUGCACUGGACAUUUGCAUGGUAAGCAAUAGAUAUUUAUCAAUCAUGGAUUGAUGAUUAAUGAAGACCUGAUGUAAACAGCAUGAAUAGUUCUAGUUAAUCACGUACACAUAUUUGUGGAAGCAUGUCUCUAGACCAUACAGAAGCAUACAUUCAAAACAGAGAAAUCAACCUGAAAUUAUUUUAUGUCCUUGCUACAAAAUAAAAAGAUCAUUCCCAUCCCAUAAACACGUCUCUCUAGAUACAAGAUAUCCUUUAAAACAAAAGGAUGGAUUUUGGGGAAAAGAAAUCCAAGUGUAGAAAUGAUUGAAAUAGACUAAUCAUAGUGCAGUAUCACAAAAAGCAAUCUGAUUUCUUACCACACCAUACCCAAGUGUUUGCACUGGUCAAGGUCUGAUAUCUUAUAGAAUUGCUUCAGCCUCCUGAAAUGAUGCCAAGUUGUCACAACUCACAAGUAUAUUGUGAAAAGCUUAGAUCUUGCACAAGAAAAUCAAGCACUUCCAGAAAAUACUUGUAAUUAUAAUUUGCAAUCCAUGAAAAGAAUAGCACAGAUUGACAAAGCAUAUUGAAUGUAAAUCCUACACGACCAAAUGGUCUUAGCAACAAGAAAAAUAUUGAUUGAAAUGCGAAGGUUGUUGAUUUGUAUGAAAAAGGAGACCAACCUUCCUCCCAGAUUGUAAAAUGAUCCAACAAGUCAGCUUGUUGCAUAUAUCAAAAUAACUUUCUGAGUUGUAAUGAAUCAUAUCAACUUGUUUGAUUGAAUGUUUCAAAACGUUCAUGUAGACUUGGGCUCAGAUACUUGGGACACAACCUCUUGUUGAUUUCUUACUACAUUAUCUGCACAACAACUUCAAGAGUUCUUUAAUCAGUUGCACCCAACACCUCGGAAAAUUUACGAAAACUACUGUUCAACUAACAAUCACUUCUCCAACUGAAUUCCAUAUAAUUCAAUCUGGUGCACCAAAGAAAUAAUUCAAUCUGAACCAAAAGUCUUUAACAAGAGAUGCCAAUUCUAACACCAUUAGAUUGCAUAAAGACAAAGUAAUCAUUUUUCUCAAGAAUCAACACUUGGAUACUGUGCAUAAUUUCACUUCAUAAAUCUGUGCACCGUCAUGCUUCGAAACAUAUACAAUUCCUAUGGCCUGCAUACCCAGUUUAUGGUAGCCCAUCAAUUACAUAUACACAAACACUCAGGAUGCACAUGUUCAUACAAGUGUGAUUGCACAUAGCACACUCUUUUUAUUUUUAUUUUGAAAUCUCUCUCUCUCUCUCUCUCUCUCUCUCUCUCUCUUUGCACCGUCAUGCUUCGAAACAUACACAAUUCCUAUGGCCUGCAUACCCAGUUUAUGGUAGCCCAUCAAUUACAUAUAUACAAACACUCAUGAUGCACAUGUUCAUACAAGUGUGAUUGCACAUAGCACACUCUUUUUAUUUGUUUUUGAAACAAGUCUCUCCACGUAAAUUUACACACGCACUGCACAGACACAAGUGCAUCUCAUAUGCCUCUGUGUGUGCAUGUUGUUCUAUGCUGUGUGGAUACCAUUUUGAUAGUAUCCAUUGGGCACCAAUGUGCACCCAGCAAAGAAAUUUCACUCUUUCCAUGUGUUUUUGAAACAAAUGUCAAAUUAAUCAAUUCUCUAAGUUUAUCUCAGCUGGCUGAAUAUAUUAUUGUAUAAUCUACAGCUUGUCAUUUUCCACACAUAUACUUUGAGUUGAUCGAUGGCUUUCAGCAAAUAGAAUUUUGUAUUUCUAGAAAUUUAUACUAGUUAAGAGAAUAUGCAAGUCAUGCAAUAACCUUACCUCAUUAAAUAUGGUUAGCACGGUCUCAGGUUUAAGCUCCUUGGCUUGGAUACCUUGUUUUACCCAAGACUGGAAGCCAUCUUGGACCAAGUAUGGUCUCUGUCACAUAAAAAUGCAAACAAACAAUUAGCAAUAUGAUACAAUAGGUUGUGGUUCCAGAUUAACAAUAGACUCACCUGGCAGUUCAAAUUUUCUUAUAAUGCAGGUCACAAGGUUUAAUUCUGUAAAAUUCUACUAUCUUCUGUAUCUAAAUUAUAUGAUUAGUCCAGGAAUGAACCAUGAUAUCAUCUAGAAUUCAUGCAUUUAACUUGUUUCUCUGCAAGCCAUUUACACAACAAUACAACCCAGCAAUCUAUGGAGUGAAAUAAAAGAAUAUUGAAAUUGAUUAAUACAUUGCAACUUCCCAUUCAAGCAACGUAAGGACUUUUUUUUUUUUGAGAGAGAGAGAGAGAUAUUUUAAGGACACAUGUUAGAUGUAAUACUAAUGUGCUUUCUGAAUUAUACCACUUGAGAACAACAGGGAUGAAAAUUGGGUUCUAUCUACAGCAUUUAUCAGACAGAAAAACAUUCAUAAGGAGUAAUGGUUUUUGACUUGACAACAUUGUAAAUGCACAAAAGACAUUAAUGUACUCUUCCCAAAUCUGGUUAAUAUGGAUAUUGUUAUUUGUUUCUAAGGUUACUGAUACUGAAAAACUCUCAGAAAUGUUUUUUAUCCCAAAGAAACUUGACUAAGGGAGAGUGGAUAAAUUCAUUUCACCCUUCUAGUUCCACGAUGAAUUAGAUGUUUAGGCUUUUAUGUGAUAAAAAAAAUCUUAGAGAUUCUAAAUACUUUCCUUAACCCCAAGCUUUCUCAAGGAUCUAGUGAUGCCUUUAGAACGAGAACCAUCAGCAUCCAUAACAAUUACCUGGUAAAUUUGAGACGAUGUUCCUGCUUCAGGAUUUAAACAUGGAACACUCAGGAGAUUGUGAUGUAGCAACUGUACUGCAUAUGGUAAUACCAAAACAAUUUCUUGUGUCCUCAGAGGCCACUAAUGCUAAAACACACAACAUUGAUGAAACCAAGCCAAAAUCCCCCCCCUGAGAAUUUCCUUUCUUUCUUGCACUACUCAGAAUUCUCAUUUUUCUGAAUGUCUCGAAACAAAGACGGCAUGCAUAAACAAUAGUUAUAUCGAAGCUCUUAAAACAUAAAGCUAUACCUGUACAGCUUUCAAGUUUUGAAUGACUGCAGUAGUUAUGAUGUCAUCAAGAUCUCGUCCACCCUUUAAAAGCUUCCUUACUGGGCCAUCAACCUGAAUAAAGUUGAAGAAUAUAAGACAGAGUUAUGAAAAAGGGAUACAGCCAAGCUCCAAUUCUUGUUUUAUUUUUUUUAUUGUUGGUUCAAAGAGUUAUUUGACAUUUAGAAACAAAGUAAUUGUUCUAAACUAUCAUCCUCAUACCAAAUAGCAAUACCUCUCCACUCAUAGCUUUUGAAUAGUAUUAUCAAAUAAAACCAACCUCUGGUAGAGUUACAAUUGCAUAGCGAAACCGAGCAGCUCGCCUAAGAUCAGGAAUGCCAUCUCUUUCUCUGAGAACCUUCAUAUAAACAAUGUCCACCAAGUUCAAUGCCAAGUUAAGGGGCAAAAAAAGGAAAUUAAUGAGGGUGCCAGAUUUGAGAUUUUUUUACUGUGAUGUAAAAAAUGUCUGAGCAGUCAGCUUUAGUAUCUCUCAUUGAGGUACUAAAAUUUCUAACAAAAAAGAAACUUAGGAAGAUAAAAGGCCAGAAAAUUUACUCUCUUGCCUCAGGCCGGACAUCAAUAAGUAUGGCGUCUUCCUUCCCUGCCAAGAGCUCCAAAGUUAAUUGCGGAGACAAAUCUCCAGAGUAACCACCAUAUAUCCACACCCUAUAAAAACCCCUGCACAAGUCUGAUAGAAAACUUAAGCUUCCCAUGUAAUGCAGAUUAAAUAAACAAAUCCUUCAUGCACAAAAGGACAUCCAAACCACAAAGUGGCUGAGGUUCCAAGGAAAAGAACAAAAGGCACAACUGGAUCAUUUGGAUCCAUGCCAAGACUUUUCUCCAGCCCCUCAAUAGCAAUGUAAACCUGCUUAAGGUGUAAAAGCAGGUUUAGGAAAUUCAGCUUUGGUUUUGGAUCAUAAAUUAGUUAGAUCAGCACAUAAUUAAGCAGUGUAACAGAGAUGGACGCAAUUGAGUUUUCAACUACAAGUCCUGUAAGCUGAAAGCAGUGACUGAUGUCUCCAACAAAAAGAUUUCUAAAAUAAUCCAAAUAUAUCUUUGCACGAGAUUUUUUUUUCAAUUCCAUACAAUUAAACGAGAGUACAAUGGCCAUCAAAGUAAAACGUGCCAAGCAUAAUGUACCUGUUGAAAAGUUGCACCAAUUGGCCUCAAAAUCUCUGUUACCCUUUCUUCAGACAGAUUCAGUGCACCCCUGAUCUCUGGAGGAAGCAAAUCCUUGGCAGGCCCAUAAGAAUAAACAACAAAAGAAGCCCCUUUUGCUAUAGAUUCCGCCACUGUAAUGAUUGCAACUCUGAGCACAUCAACAGAAGUGCCAGUAGCUUUUUGUGUGGCUUCCCUCAAGCCAAAUGAAAAGCUAGUCAGUCUUUGGCAGCUAAUUCUUCUGUUUGAUCAAAAGUAGAGAAAACUUUACUCAAGGCACCAUCUACUGCUUCUGAAGCACCUUCCUUAAUUGAUGUUAUUGAAGAAGUAAUUGUGUCUAGUGAGCUUUGCACAACAUUUCCUCCAUUAUUUACUGAAGUGUUGAUGGAGUCCCUAACCUCGCCCAAAAAAUCAUUAAAACCAGCCUUUGCACUAGAUAAUGAAUCGUUAUCCAUUUCCAGGGAAUCAGAUCCCAAACUGGGAUUCACUGGUGUCAUAUCAAUAGUUGAUGUUAUUUCAGGUUCCACAAGUCGUAUUAAACUAUCUGUAUUAUCAGCAAACUGGUCUGCAGAGUUCAAAGGUCCUUCUUCAACAUCAGAUAUGUUAUAACUUUCUAAGAAUUUCAGUUUACCCCCUCCCAUAGGGUGUGGGUGCAGUUCAUCUAUUGCUCCAACUGAAGAAUCGCAAUCCUUAUAAAAGUUGCAAUUAAUGUUGCCUAGUUCAUUUGGGCAAGAAUGAUCAUUAAUGAAAGCAAAGCUUUCAAUAAAAUUGGAGUAGAAAGACUUUAUAGCUUGUGUUUUGAAGGAAAUUCUUUGGUGAUGUGUUAUAUUUGACAUUCCCAAAAGUACCAUGUCUACAACAUAACAUCUGGACUCGAAAUCCUUCCAGACUGAGCAAAAUGGUUGCAGACCUCCAUGGAAUGUUAUCUGCAGUAGUUGUGGUUUCAAAUACAUGAAUGAAAUUUUUGACAACAGAAAUACCAUGCCAGAGGUAUAUGAAGAAAUAUGUGACAUGAUAACACAAAACUUGGUGACUUGAUAACCGAUGUGCAUGGAAGUUACUGCCUGCAAGGCUUCACUGAAAAUUGUCAAAUUCUGUUCUUUAAAGGUGGCAAGGAAUUUGUAUAUUGAAGAGUCUCACAGACCUCAUAUCUUAAUUUUAUAUUCUGAUGUAAGUAAUCAGAUUAAGAGCGUGUUUGACAUUGCGGUAGCGGUUGCUUUCAAAGUGUUUUUUGUUCGAAAACACAUCAAAAUAAUGUUUUCUUCAUUUUUUAAAAUACAUUUUUGACAUCAGCACAUCAAAACGGUCCAAAAACAUCAAAAAAAUAAUUUUAAGCAAAAAUAAUUAUAUUUUUGGCAAACGGUGUUGUGACAGCAAUGCUAAACACACUCUAAGUGGAGAGAAAAUGCCAUCAUAAUCCAAUGCAAAUGAGAAGAAAGUUGGUGCUAGGGAAUCACACCCAGAUGCUUAAUCUACUAAACGGAGAUGUACAAGCAGAUUAUUAGGCCAUGCAAAACUUUCUGCUAGAUUGUUAAGGGAUUUACUCAGCAUCCCUCUGAUGUGUAGGCCUAGAAGGAAGAGCAUGAGAAUCAAUUCAAAACCUUCACUUAGGCACAUAAGCUCUACAUGAUGUCAUACUGACCUUUAUGCUUAAACAGUUGAAGCUUAAUUUAUACCUUCAUUCAAAACCUUCACUUAGGCACCCCAGAUUUUUCAACUCAAAUACAUCAAACAUAUUAUAUAAAGAGGCAGACAUGUCUAGGUGCACCAUUUUUUUUCUUUUAUUUUUUGACACCAGAAUUUUUCUCUUAGUGAAAGUUCAAUUAUAGUCCUGGCUUGUUCUCCACCUAAUUAGAGGUCAUGCAUCUCCAAAACUAAGGGCAUAGAUGAAAUCCGAGGUACAGGGAUGAUAGAAACUUGGCAACAAAACGAAUUAAAUUACAGUCUAGGAAGUGAAACUCACCUGAGAAUGAGAGGAACAACACUGAGUGGCAGAGCAAACAGGCAACAUCUUUUGUUAACUCAAUAUAAACCUUAUCAAAAUCACCAAGCUUCUUUGUUCUGCAUGAAAGUAAGACUUUACAAUUAAAAUGCAGUUCAAUCUCCAAAUUCGCCCAUGAAAAAAAGAGCAGUAAUUAAACCAAGCUAAGUUGAAUAAGGGUUAUUUAUAUUUCUGACAAGCAAUCCACUUAUAAGAGGAUUCCUUGAAAUUCAAAAAAAAAAAAGUAACCUCUUUCUCGAAUAGUGAAAACAGAUGGCAUCAAUGUGGAUCAAAACUACGAAAGACAAGUUAGAAAUGGAUCAAAAUGAGCAAAACUGAACCAUGACCGCUUCAAUUCAUUAUACCAAGAUGAACGAUCCUUAAGUUGGCUUCUAGAAACUCAAGCUUGAGCUCCAUUUUUAAACAAAAUCAUGAAAAACAAAGAACUCGUUCCACAAAACAACAUAUUCAAGUGUAUAACUCACAAGUAAGUAAAACACACUAAGCUAAAACAAACCAAACCGGAGAUUCAGAACAAAUGAACCAAUUCCCCAAAUGGGUUCCUCACAAUACAAUCACUAACACCAUGAUACUACAAAAAGUGACGUCCAAGUACAGCAUUCAACAAAAAAGAUGACAAUUUACAACACGGUAAGCUAAGCUAAAUCAAACCACCCACUUCGAAAAAGAACUAAAACUUACUCAAAUCUAGGAAACUGAAAAUGGGUAGUGGAAUUUGUGUUGCGACUUGUCAAAGGAAACAAUAUAGAUCAUGGUAGAGAAUCGAAUCGUGUGGCUUGUCGAUGCCGUUAGCUCAUCUCUUUGGUUUCUCUCUGCCUCUCGUUUCUGCAGGUGGGGACCGACCAUAGAUUUCAUACGGGCCCGGGGUCUGAUCGAAUCCAAAACCCGAUUAGCUGAUUGGCCGAUUGAGCAAAGUCAAUUUCAAAACUAAUUGUUUUUAGUUUUAUUUUUAAAACUAAAAAAAUAUUGUUUUCAAAAAAACAAAUUAGAUAUUUCACUCAUGUUUUGCUAUGAAUUAGAUUUUUUUAAUAAAAAAUUUCUAAUUAUAAAUUAAAAUGUUGAUAUAUACAAUAAGUUACAUAAAUUAAUAUUUGAUCAAUAAAUAACUAAAUAAAAUUAAGAUAUUUAAUAACACAAAAAAAUUAAAUGUGAAAAAAAGUAAAAAGUAAAAGAAUAAAGAUCUUUUUCUUAAAAAAUAAAUAUUAGGGGUGAAAUUAAAAAAAAAAUUAUAAAAAAAACUAAAAAGAUAAAAAUCUACACGUGUGAACUUUUGAAACUCAUGAUCAUGACAAUGAGGCAAAGAUUGAGGAAAUCGACUGCAUAGAAGAUAAACACUAAAAAAUAACAAAAUAAAAUUUGAAAUAAAAAGAUGCCUCCAAUUAAAUUGAAAAUAAAAUAAAAUAAGAUUUGAGUUGUUCGAGUUAACCCGGGUUAACACGUCAACCUUAUGACCAUGUGUAUAAGAAUGAGAUAAUUCCACAUAAAGAAAAGAGAAAAAAAAAAGCAUGAAGACCAAUUCUAAAAAAUCUAACGUUAAGGGACAUAAAAAAGACCAAAAUCACCUCAUGUCAAUUUUCAAAACUCAUGAUCCUAGUCAUGAGACUAAAAUUAACCUUAUAGAAGCUGAAAAAAAAAAGAAACAAAAUUCUCUAUAAAAAAUAACGAGGGAUAAAAUUAACAAAGAAAAAUGCAAUAAAAAGAAAGGAUCUUAAACAAAAUAAACAUCGAUAAAAAUAACAAGAACAAAAUUCGAUAUACAAAAAUUAAAAUCAAAUGCUAAGGAUGAAAGUAAAAAAAACUCAAUUAAUAAAAGGAUAAAAUAUUCUAAAGAAUGAAAACUAGGUUUGAUAUAAAAAAUUAAAUUAAACCAAAUAAUUAGAAACAAAAUUGAAUAUAAGAAUAAAUCAAAAGAAGUUAAAAAAACAAAACAAAUAGCAAUAAAAAAAAUAGAAGAAGGAAAAAAAACUAAUGUUGAAUGUGAAUUUUUUUUUUUUUGAAAACAAAACUAAUAUCAAACGAUAAGAUAAGAAAAACAAUAAGCUAAAAAAAAGAUUUUAGUCCAUGUUAACCUUUUAAACUCAUGAUCUAGGUUAUUAGACAAAAAGUACCAUAUAUGAAAAAAUCAUGAAUCCUGUCCCUAACAAAUUAAAUAUUGAAUGAUGAAAUAAAAAAUCAUUAAUGCAAAAUAUUUUUUAAAAAAUUUAAAAAUAGUAAUUAAACGAAUGAGGAUGAAAUUGAAAUAAAAAAUAAAUUAGAAGGCAAAACCAAUUUUUUUAUUAAAGGGUUAAAUUGAAAAGAAAUAUAAUUUUAACAAAAGGGGAAAAUCAAAAGAAUGAGGACCGAACUAGAAAUAUAAUACACCAUAAAAUUGGAUUGAAUGAUGAAAAUAAAAAAUAAUAAAACUUUCACAAACAGGGCAAUGAAAAAAUUUAGAAAUCAAAUAACAAGGAUCAAAUUGAAAAAAAUAAUAUAUGAUAAAUUGAAAUUGAAGAACUAAAUUAAAAACAAAUAAAACUUUACAAAAUGGUUAAAGAAAAGAAUUAAAUAUGGAAAGAAUAAGGAUCAAAACUGAAAUAUCAAUAAUAAAAAUGACCAACCUGUAAUAUUUAAAAGAGAAAAGAGAAAAUAAAAAAAAUAACUUAUCAGCAACAAACUAACCUCCAUUAAAAGGGCAAAUUUGACCACUAGAGGCACGAGCACGUCUUCCAAAGAGUACAAGUGUUCCCAUGUGAUGAUAUGUGAAUUGUAUGCAUCAAUAAGUUUUUGAGUUUAAAAAUUAGUUAAUUAUUUUAAAAGGACUAAAUUGUUCAUUAUAGUUCUGGAAUUAAAAAAAAAAAAACCUAUGUGAAUAAAAAAAAAUCUCUAGACCAAUGAUUGAUUUUUUCUUGAUUUUCAAGAGCAAAUAUGUUUUUUUUUACUGUAUCUAAAAAAACCUAAAUAUACUUAAUAAACAACAUUAGAUUUUUUUUAUACGGGGUUUUAAAAAAUCAUUUUAUCAUGCAUAAGAAAUAGAAAAGUUACAUAUGUCCUAGUCAAAAAAUUGCCCUUAACUCGUAAGCUUUUGGUUACAUAUAUGUUUCCCGGUCAAAUAAUUAAUUGACCGAUGCCAAAAAAUUGAAUUGCCCUUAACUCAUAAGCUUUUGGGUUUUUCUUAGAAGGGGAAAAAUAUAAUUAAACUGUCGCAAUAAAUAGUUUUUUUUUGGUCUAUAUGCAUAGUAUUUUCUAUAGUAUUUUGGUAACAUUUUUAUUGUUUCUAUUAAUUAAAAAAAUUAUUAAAAUUGACUCUCUAAUUUUACCAGAUUAAUGUCAUGUAUUUAUGAUUUAAAGAAUAGGAUUGCAGGGGUGAAAUCAUCUACACCGAUGAUUUUGCUAGUGCUUUCUGCAUAAGAUCACAUCAAAAUGGAGUCAUUCGUUUUAAUUUUUCCAGAUUCCUUGGAAUGCUGCUAGUUAUUUUGGUGCUCUGCAAUGUUUUGUGGAGUAACGCAGGACGUUGGCCAUAUCACUUGAUAGUGAUUUGGCUUACUGUUAUAUAUCAGUCAGUCAGUAACAAUGGUGGUGGAUAUACUGCUCCAUUGCCACCAGGCUGGGAGAAGCGAUCUGAUGCAGCGACAGGGAAAACGUAUUAUAUUGAUCACAACACUAGAACUACAACCUGGAAUCAUCCAUGUCCAGAUAAACCUUGGAAGAGAUUUGACAUGGCAUUUGACGAGCUCAAGAGAUCAACAACUUUAUCUCCUCUGUCUCCGCUGGCUAAUCUUUUCGUUCUUGCCGGCGAUAUCCACGCCACACUUUAUACUGGUUCAAAAGCUAUACAUAACAAGUUCUUCCCAAUGAAAUAAUAUAUAAUAACCAUUAUAAUAUUAUGUGAAGCCAACAAAGUCCUCAGUACGAGCAAACACUUGGAUCGAAGACUUGAUGCCCUUCCCUACCAAAUAAAUAAAUAAAAAAAAUAACAAGACAUGAAGCAUUUUGUACAUAGAAUAUUUUUAGGAACUAUUUUUAAUUUAUUUUUAAUUAAUUUUUUUAUUUUCAUAUUAUUUUGAUGUGGUUAUAUCAAAAAUAAAUUUUAAAAAAUAAUAAUAAAAUUAUUAUUUUGAUAUAUUUUCAUAUAAAAAAAACUAUAAAAAAUAAUUAUUGUCACAAUACAAAAUAGAUUCUCUAACAAAUUCUUCUUAAUCAAAUCAUCAUAAUCAUUAUUUUGUUUUUUUAUAUUAUUUUGAUCUCCUUGUAUCAAUUACCCUGUAAACGUUACCCAUCUCUGCUGCUUUUAUGUUUCUUCUCUCAACUGAAUGGGUUCGGAGCUAAAUUUCCUUUCCAGGUUGUUGAGUGAAUUUGAGUUUAAAAUUCCCUUAAUUCAUUAUUGUGUUCAUUAUAUUUGUUCUUUAUGCUUAUGUCCAACCACCUGUUAAAGACAAUGCUAUGAGAUGAUCACUUCCUGUUUAAGGUGUCGUGGGUAAUGCUGGAUGUUUAGCAAUGUUUAGCUUUUGAUUCUUAAUUGCUAGACAUCUAUUUUAGGCAGGAGAUAACUUCACAUUAAGAGAGUUAUCUGUUCACUUUUUGCCAAUUUUGAAUUAAAGAAGGAGAAAAGUACUGAUGGAUCAGUCUUUAGUUUGCGCUACAUAUUUGACCCAUGUUUCACCACGGUUUAGAUAUAUUUUUUUUCAAUAAAAAAUUUAUAUAUAAACUUUUUCAACAUGUUUUUGUAUUUUAAAAAAAUUCUAAGUGAAAAUUAAAAAACUUAUAUGUACAUUUAAUCAAAUAAAUUAAGAAUUAUUUGUGUUAAUAAGUGAAAAAAUCAAUAAACGAUGACUAAAUAUAAAAAUUAGAAAAAUCAAGAGACGUAGAUCAAGAUAUUUAAUUUCACAAGACAUGACAUUUACACGGUUGUAUUUGCUAAUUUGUUAGUUAAAAUAAUGUUUUUAUUCAAUCAAACGAUAAUAAAAAUAAACACACAUUAAAUUGGUUGAAUAAAAUAAAAGAGAAAAAAUAAUAUGCAAGGCUACACAUAUUAGAAAUAUUAUUUGAAAAUAAUUUUUUUUUUAUUUUCAAAAAAAAAGUUCAUUCUACCUAGAGACGCCUUUUUUUAUAUUUUUUUUAGUUGAUUAUUAACUCAUUUCAAAGAUCACUAUAUAAAUGCUAGAAGAAUGUUUUAUUUUUAUAAUGUGAGAUUUGAAGCUCUUUAGUAUAUAUACUCUAUAUUCACAAGAAAAAAGUUAUGUUUUUUCAGCGUGGGAUAAUAAACCUUUUUGGUUUAAAAACUUCAACUUAGAAGAAUAAGAUAGUUUCUUUUCAAUGUGGUAUAAAAACCUUUUGAAAUAAUCUUUUAAACUUAAUUAUUUAUAAUAUAUAUAGCUAUUGGGUCUGGCUUGUAGACAGACCUAGAUAUAACCAAUUUUAAUUUUUUGCCUCUUUAGAUUUUUUUCUUAUGUAAUUUUUUUUCAUAUUGUAAAAUUAAAAUAAAUUAAUGAGACUUUUUAUAUAUUGUACAAAAGUUGCGUGAUUAUAUAUAUUUUUUUCAUUUGAGGUUGAGUUGGUUGAAUUGUUUUCUGCCAGCGUUGGGUCCUGCUACCUAGCAAGAUCCAAUAGCGUUAGCCCCUGCUGCAAGGUGGAAUCCAAUAAAAUUGGGCCUUAUUUCUGUUAGAACCCAAUAAGGUUGAGCCCUGCUGUCGUUCGGACUACAUAGAGUUAGGUUGCUAUCAGAUCCAAGACACUUAAUAUAUUCUCUUUAUUUUUUAUAUUUUUUAUAUUUUUUAAAAAAAUAUUAUUGAUUUGUUGGGGAGUGUAUAUCUAUAUAUGCUUGAAUAUAUAUAAAAAGAAAAGGCAUCUGCCAAAUUAUUUGGAUACAUUGUGAUUUUACAAAAUCACGGAUAUAUUAAAAUCAUGAUUUAAAAUAGCAGGUUUUUAAAAAAUACUUAUAAUGUGAAGUCAACAAAGUCCUCUGUACGCUCAAACACUUGGAUCGAAGACUUAAUGCCCUUCCUUUACCAAAUCACAACAAUAAUAAUAAUAAUAAUAAUAAUAAUAAUAAUAACAAUAACAUGAAGCUUUUUGUACAUAUUAAAUUCCUAGGAGUCAACAAUAUGCACCCUCUGUACAUGAGAAAAUAUUUUGAUGUUAUAAUAUAAAAAAUAAUUUUAAAAAAUAAAAAAAUAUUAUUUUGAUGGAUUUUCAAAUAAAAAAUACUUUAAAAAAUAACUAUAACUACAAUAUCAAAUUAGUUGUCUAAUAAAUUUUUCUCAAUCAAAUCACCAUAACCAUUAUAAUAUACCGUGAAAGCAAAUAACAAUUGUUUUUUAAAGUGUUUUUUUAUUAAAAAUAUAUUAAUAUAAUAUUUUUUUUAUUUUUAAAAAAUUACUUUUUUACAACAACAAAUCAAAUAUACUGAAAAAACAAAAAAAGAUAAAAAAAAAUUAUAAAAACAUUGUUUAUACCAUAAAGACAACCUAGUUCUAUUAUUUGAAAGACUAGAAAAAAUAAAAUAUUGAAAGAUGAAAUUAAAAAUAAAAUUAAUAACGAGAUAACAAGCAAAAACCAGGAAAAUAAUGGCAAAUGAAAUUAUCAAUUAUCAAACAUCAAUGUUCCCUCUGGUUUGAACUUUGAAUUAUGGUAACUACAUACGUAUGGAUAAACGAUCUCGAAGAGCAGAGAAUCACCUCCAUACAGGCUUUCUUUAUUGGUGGCACAAACUGAUGAUUUUGUAUACUCAACUUGAGAAAUUCAAACGAGUUAAGUACAAAACAUGAUAUUUGUACAUCUUCCAUUGCACUUUCCACUAUGAUUAACGUUGGAAAUGAUAUUUGUACAUCUUCCAUUGCAGCAAGACUCUCCAAAUUUGCACUUGUUACCACAUAUUCCACAGUUGUUCUUGUCUCCCAGAACAUUCCGGCAAUGUUUCUUGCAACAAUAAACUACCAAGCUGUUAUAUGUGUCUUUAAUGUACAAUAAACUACCAAGCUGUUAGUUUUUUUAUUUUUUAUUUUUAUAGACAAAGUAAUGAUUUCAGUUUUCAUGGGUCUUAUCAUGCAUAAGAGAUAAAAGAUGGACACGUGUUUAGUUUUCAUUUCCAAUUGAAAAUUUGGGUGGGGUGGAUUUAGUGUUCUUGUUUAUCGGCUGGUUCAUAAAAAAAAAAAAAAGUCUUCAUGGGUGAAAUUUCAAUUGACCCGGUAGGUCAAGCAGGUUUUGUUAAGCCAAUUACUGGUUUAAUUUUUAAUUGAUACAGAUCCAGCCAAGGCCACGUGUCACCAAACAAAUCAUAAAAAAAAAAGAGCGAAUAAAAAACACAACCAAUAUUAUAAUAAUAUAAUGUGAAGGCAAAGAAUUCCUACGGGGUCGAAGACUUGAUGCCCUUUCCUGCCACAUCACGGAUAAACAAAGAACAAGACAUGGAGCCUUCUUGUACAUGGGGAAUUUCCAGGAAGUCAACAAUGUGCACCCUCUGAGGUUGAUUUGAAACCAAAUCUGAGGUUGAUUUGGUCAAAAGGCAGUGUUUUGGAUUAUAUUGGUUAAGUUAAUCUAAAAAAAAUUUAAAAACAUUAUCUGAAAUUUUAAUAUUUUAUAUAAAAAAUUUAAAAAACAAUUUAUAUGAAUGAACUAUAUAUAUCAUAAAAAUUGAAGUUUAAAAAAUUAUUUUAAAAUAUUUUUCUACUUUUAAAAAUCAUAGGUAACGCCUAUAGUACCUCAACCUUCCCUUUUGUUCUUGCCCCUCCUAAUUGAUUUAAUAGUUUUCAUUUCCAGUUGAAAAUUAGGGUGUUUCAGUUCGCUGGUUUACUUGGCCGGUAAAUUGGAUUUUGAGUGUAUAGGAAACGCGGUUGAAAUCGUGUUUUUAAAAAUUUUAAUUUUUUUAUUUAAAAUAAUUUUUUUAAUAUUUUUAGAUUGUUUUUAUGUAUUGAUAUAAAAAAUAAUUAAAAAAAUAAAAAAACUUUAUUUUGAUACAUUUCUAAAUAAAAAAUACUUUGAACCGUUACCACUAUCACAAUUUUAAACAAACCCAGUACACCAAUUACCUAGCUAAAGUCCCGGUUACCAAACAAAUAACAAACACAAAUCAUAAUCAAAUCAACAAUUAUAAUGUGAAGGCAAGGAAGAGUGUGUGAUCCUUCUAGCUUAGAGUCUCACCCUCGGCUUACUGAAUUACCUUUUCAUUUUUUUUAUUUUUGGGAUUCAAUUAUGAAGUGUGGUGUUUUUUAAUAAGAAAUAUAUUAAAAUAAUAUUUUUUAAUUUUAAAAAACUUAUUUUUGACAUUAAUAUAUUAAAAUAUAUGAAAAUACUAAAAAAUAUUAAUUUAGAAUAAAAACAAUAGAAAACAAUGGCAAUGUUUUUCUUUUUCUCCCUACAUUCCCUUGAAGUAGGCUUACAAAAUUGCAAUAGAAAAUUCCAACAAGUGCAUGCAAUGUUUUCAUUUCUCAAAGUUUGCCUGUCAGUACCUUAUCUAUAUGUUUAAUUCGAAUGAACAUACGGGAAAGGUUAAAAGAUAAACAAAUGAGGUGCCAUAGCUUUCCUCAAUUCAGCAGAAAUUUGGAAAGUUCUCAGUAGGAGGUAGUUUGACAAGCACUAUCAUGCGAUGUUCUUUACAGGAUUGCUCUAGUUUUUUGCCCAACUCUUGCUUGAGGGAAGAUAUUGAAAGCACUUUUAACAAUCACAUAAUCCUCUCUCUCACACAAAAAGCCAUCUGCAUCAUGUAUACUAUAGAGCCCAUGAAACUUUGCUAGCUAAACUGAAGGACGAAAUCUUAAACACAUCAGGUGAUCAUUAGCUUCGUUCCCUAGUGCAUCUAGUUGGUCACUCCUUUAAAUCAUAUAAUGACUUUGAUGCCCUGCUUAUAUUGAGAAAGUAGCAUUGCGUGAGCCCUGUAUCCAAAUAAUCAUAUUGUUAUUAUGGUUGUGAUAAAUUAAGCUAGUUAAUAUGUUGGACCACAACAGUAAAGGGUUUGCUAGCAUGUUCUCUCUUUACUGCUUAGAACAACCCUCUAGCAUUAAUCAGAGUGAUUCCUUUGUUGUGUUAGUGAAAUUGCUGCUAUUGAUGAUGUUGGAAUUUAAGAUCCUUUAAUCAGUUAAACUCAUCAUUCACAAACAUUUUGCCUUCAUCAGGGAAAUGAGCUACAAAUAAGGCAAGCAGAUCUUUACCUCAGUGAAGGCGAGGAAUUGAGUUUCUAUGAAGUACUAUUACGAGCCCGACAGAGAAGAGAGAUAGUCAUUGGUUACCGUGCAGCUAAUGCUGAAAAGGCUGUUAUCAAUCCGCCUGCCAAAAGUGAGAGACGUAGGUGGUCACUGAAAGAUGUAUUCGUGGUAAUUGCGGAGAAGGAAUGAGGAUGAGGUUCUUCUUCAUCCUCUGAACAUGAUAUUCUUUGAAAAAAGUUCGACGGACACCGAAGAAAACAACAAUAGGAAGUGCUCAUUAGUUUCUGCCAGUCUGAAAAAAGAAAGAAAUAUAUACUACAGAUGUACAGUCACAUGUAGUAUAUUUCUUGUACAAAAACUCAACCUCAAAGUAAUGGAUUUUCUCGCUACCUAAAUAUGAAAGAGCUGUAACGUUUCCCAGGACAUGUGUUUGGAGCACUAAAUUGAUAAGAAGGCUCUACUUGGCAUGAAACAUUUGUGAUUUGCAAGAAUGAUGACUGACAGCACAGGGAAUGAAUAGCUUCAAGCUGGCUUCUUGCUUCGCAGAAGCAUGUUAUAGCAUGAUAAUUGAAGCUAGAUGGUUGGAAGUAUAUAUAUUCUGCAUCGUUCAGGACAAUCUCCUUCCUUUGGAAUACUAAAAAGAAAAAACCCUCUUCUAUAAUCUCAACGUGAAAGCAGAACCAGCCGACGCUUUGUGGUAAAAUCUUGAUAUCUGCCUGUCGCGGGGUUUCCAUCCAGGGAUGGAUUGGGGAAUUAUUCAAUCCUAAGUAGAGACUUAUUUUGACAUUACAAAAACAAUGUGUCAAACAAGUUGAAAGUAAUUAUAUGAAGAUGAAAUUGAAAUGAAAAAACAUUGGGAACGAAAACGAACAAUUGCAAAAGGGACAAUUUUUUUUUAUAAAAAAAACAGAGGGAUCAAUUAGGCGCAAUGUGGUAAAAACGGCACAGUUUUGACAAGAAAGAAGUACAAAAGCCCAUAUCCGCAAACCAUCCAAUCCUCCUUAUCCGUAUAAAAACCCAUAUCCACGAACACGCCCUCCCUCCCUCCCUCCCUCCCUCCGCAAUUCACUCUCCCAUUUCUCACUUGAAGAAGAUCAACCCAAGAAAAUGGCGGUGAAGAUUCGUUUAGCAAGACUGGGAUGCAAAAACGGGGCAUUUUACAGAAUUGUUGCUGCUGAUAGCCAUACUCCAAGAGAUUGCAAACACCUUCAAGUUGUUGGAGGUUCCCUCUUCUUCUUCUUACCCUUCUCUUAUUAUUUUCAUAUGCUCAGUUCACAUGAAGAUAUUUUUUUCCUAAUUUUAAAGACCUGGACUUUGAAGUCUUAUUGGGUUUAUUUUCAGGUUCUCAAAUAAUCAUUGCAUGGUAUGUGUAGAUAACUCUGUCAGCUUUCACUGGAUCAUCCAGAUUUCAGGUUGACUGGGCCAAUUGCUGGUCUGGUUUUCGACAGAUACAGAUCCGGCCAAGGCUCCACAUCACCAAAUAAAUCAAAGAAAAAAGAAAAAAAAAAAUCAAAACAAUUGAUUGUUGCGUGUCUAUAAUAAUAAAUAUGGCCCAUAUCACAAAUAAACAAAGAACAAGACCUGAAGCCUUUUUGUACAUGGGAAUUUCCAGGAAGUCAACGAUGUGCACCCUCUCUACAUGAGAAAAUAUUUGGAUUUGAAACCCCCAUUAUUACAAUUAUACAUGUGCCUAAGCUACUGAUUCAAAAUCAGCAUCUUUUUUCCUUGAGUUACUUCCGUUCUCUUCCUACAGACUUACCCUGCCACCAGAGUCUCACUCUUGUUUCUUCGACUGUUUCUCCACGAAACAAUGGCGAUGUUUUUCUUGUUUCUCUCUAUCUUUUUGUUUGUUUAUAUCUGGAGAUUCAUCAUACGAAGCCGUCAUAUUUCUCCAUCCCCAUCUACUCCUUCCACCUUAACCACCGCCCAGCCACAAGUAAUUAAAUAUGAUGUCUUCCUUAGUUUCAGGGGAGAAGACACUUGUUCUGAUUUUACCAGUCACCUCUAUGCUGCUUUGAACCGGAAACAAAUCCUAACUUUCAUAGAUUAUCAGCUUGUGAGAGGAGAUGAGAUUUCGGCAUCACUUCUGAGAACAAUUGAAGAGGCCAAGCUUUCUGUGAUUGUUUUUUCUGAAAAUUAUGCAUCUUCCAAAUGGUGCUUGGAGGAGCUUGCAAAGAUUUUUGAACGUAGAAAAAAUAAUGGACAGAUAGUUAUUCCGGUAUUCUACCAGGUGGAUCCAUCCCAUGUAAGAAAUCAAACAGGGAGGUUUGGGGAUGCAUUUGCUAGACUUAUAAAGAAGAAAGCUUUGACGAUGGACAAAGAGCAGAGCUUCAGAGACGCUUUGACGGAUGCAGCCAAUCUAUCUGGAUGGAGCUUAGGGAAGUCUGAGUAAGCUCUUGAAAUAUAUCCCAUAAAAAAAUAUUCGUUCAUUUGUUGAGGAUUUGAAAUUUAAUUUAAAAUUAUUGAGAAUGAUGAGCUCUGUGAAUCUAUAUUUAUUUUAUUUGAUUUUGAAAACGUUGUAGCGAAACACUUGUACAGAUCUUAAGCUUUAGGAGACAGAAAGCAGAUACUUAUGAAUCCUUAUAUUAAAUUUUAUCAGGACAAUCAAUGUUUUCUUCGAUCGUUUCACUUGAAAUUAGGGCAUUAAUAGUCUAUUAAUCUGAGGUGAAAAAGGAUUACGUUGUCUUGGAAAAUAAUAUAAAUUAUAUCUUGAGAUCUUCUUGACUUUGUUUUUUAUUGAGAUGAUUCUAUAUACGAUGAUAUGAGAAAACAUCUUAUGCAUUUGCAUGUCAUUGAUUUUCCUAGAUAAACACCGAUUACAAGUAGUUUCCAGUUUCAAAGAUUGAUUAACUGUAGCAUGAGAUAAGUAGGGAGCUGCUGCAUAUUUCUGAACUCAAAUGCAUUCACUCGAGAGGCCUAGUAAGAGAAUCUUGUCCAGGUUUAUGAAUACAUGCUCACCUUAUAAAAGAGCAGAAUAUAGAUGGAGGCUCUUCCUUUCUUUCCCACCAUAUAAUUCAGAUCCUAUACGUGCCUACUAUGUAUAGAUGUAGCUACUAAGGAGUGAGUAUGUUUAUAUGUUUGUUGUUUCUUCUAGUCUGGUCCAUUCUGACUAACAAAUAUGUGUGUGUUCUUGUUUGUUAGGCUGGAGUCCGAAUUUAUUGAAAAGAUCGUUGGAGAUGUUUUGAACAAAUUGCAUGCUAUGUCUUCAAGUCACACUACGGGUUUAUUUGGAAUUGAUGUUCGCAUUCACAAAGUCGAGUCUUUGUUAAAUAUGGAAUCUCAAGAUGUUCUCAUUGUAGGAAUAUGGGGAAUGAGUGGUAUAGGUAAGACAACGAUUUCUGAAGCUGUGUGCAACAAGGUUUGUUCUCGAUUUGAAGGAAUCUUUGUUGCAAACUUUAGGCAAGAAUUAAAAACACGUCCCAUGGCUGAUUUGCAAAGAAGCUUUCUUUCACAACUGCUUGGCCAAGAAAUUCUGAAAAUGGGCUCCUUGAGUUUUCGAGAUUCUUUUGUGAGGGAUAGACUUCGUCGUAAAAUGGUUUUUAUUGUUCUUGAUGAUGUGGAUGAUUUAAUGCCUUUGGAAGAAUGGAAAGAAUUGCUUCAUGGACGACACAGUUCAUUUGGUCCGGGCAGUAAAGUUCUCAUAACAAGUAGGGACAAGCAAGUGCUUAAUAAUAUAGUAGACGAAACAUACGAGGUUUGUUAGGAAAUGAAAUAUUCCCGUGUAUAGAAUAGCAGAGUUGUAUAAAAUAGAAGAUAUGUAUUUAUUCACUUUCCAUUGUAAUGCCUAAUAUGUCGCUACUGAAGCUACAAUGCAGCAACUGAUUCCUGACUUGUAGGAAUCAGUUGCAGCCUCCCUGUAUAAGUAUAUGAUUCAGUAUCAAUAACAAUCACUCUGGUAAAUUCAAUCUUUCUCUUCAUUCUUUUCAUGGUAUCAGAGCUGGCUUAGAAUCCUAAUCCAUUACUGCAAUUAAAUCUCUCGCCUAGCAUCUCUCUUCUUCAGCUACCAUGACCAACAAUGAAACGUCAUCAAACCUAGAAGCUCAUACAGAUUUUUCAAGAGGGAAUCUGUCAAAUCCCUAUUUCACUCACCAUUCAGAUCAUCCAGGUUUGGUUUUGAUUUCCAAACCCUUGAAUGGAGACAACUAUUCUACUUGGAAAAGGGCUAUGACCCUGGCCUUGAAUUCUAAAAACAAGCUAAGUUUUGUUAAUGGCUCAAUCAAAGCCCCUUCAGAAGAAACUGAUCCUGAAGGAUAUGCGGCUUGGUCUCGAUGCAAUGAUAUGGUCCAUUCAUGGAUUAUUAACACUCUCAAUCCAGAGAUUUCAGAUAGCGUGAUAUACUACUCUACCGCCCAUGAAGUUUGGGAAGACCUUCAUGACCGAUUUUCUCAAAGCAAUGCACCCCGUAUGUUUGAAAUUCAGCGAGAUAUCGCUUGUUUUAGGCAGGAACAACUUUCUGUUUCGGUGUAUUACACAAAAUUGAAGGGACUGUGGGAUGAACUUGCUUCCUACAAUGAUUCACUACAUGGGGCGCAGCAAGAUCAACAAAGAUUAAUGCAAUUUCUGAUGGGUUUGAAUGAGUCUUACAGUGCUGUUCGUGGACAAGUUCUCUUGAUGAAUCCCCUUCCUUCAGUUCGGCAAGCUUAUUCCUUUGUCUCUCAAGAAGAAAAGCAACGCCUUUUGAGUUCAGCACACACCAUCAAUGAUUCCGUUAACAGUGCAGCCAUGGCGGUUCAAAGCAACAACAGUAAGUUUAAUGACAAAGGUGAGCGUUCCUACCAUUCUUUUAGAUCGCAAGACAGAUUGACAGAUAAUUUCAGUGGAGGACGCAGAUUUGAACAGGACAGACGCCGGUUUGGACCUAGACGAGGACGGCCUCAUUGUUCCCACUGUGGAGAACCGGGACAUUGGGUCCAAACCUGUUAUGAGCUCCAUGGGUAUCCAGCAGGGCACCCCAAGGCAAAGCACAAUUCAGCCAGACGCUUCAACCAUAACAACAAAUCUGCAGCAAACCAUGUGUCAGAAAGUUUUGCUAAAGAAAAUGGCAAGUCUGUUGUUGGAAUUUCAGAGACCCAAUUGAAGCAGCUCUUAUCUCUUCUUAAUGACAAAGGCGCCGAAUCCAGUUCUCAAGCACAUGCUGCAACUACUGUAACCAAACCAGGUUUGCCUAAAAUUGCUUCCCGCAGUUGGAUUAUUGAUAGCGGGGCAACGGAUCAUAUUUCUUCAUCAUCUCAAUCAUUUUUUCAACGAGAUAACAAUUGCUCAUUGCCUCCUGUAUUACUGCCUAGCGGGGAAACAGCUAAUAUUGUUGCAAAGGGAUCAUUACCUCUGAAUUCCACUUAUUAUUUGCAUGACGUGCUUUGUGUACCCACAUUCAAAGUUGACUUGAUGUCAGUCAGUCGUUUGACAAGAGGUUUGAAUUGUUCGGUAACCUUUUUCCCUUAUUGGUGUAUUUUGCAGGAUCUGGCUACGAGGAGGAUGAUUGGUUUGGGUAAACAACGUGACGGACUAUACUACUUGGUGGCAAUAGCAACGAAGAAAUCUAUGGUUCAACCUUCCCAACCAUUACAUCGACCAGCCUGCAACCUCACCAUCUCAUCCACUGAUCUCUGGCAUAAACGCUUAGGCCAUAUCUCACCUCAUCGUUUAAGUUUCAUUGCCCAACAAUUUUUAAAUUUUUCUGUUCAAUCCAGUCAUGUUUGUCCUAUUUGUCCUUUGGCUAAGCAAAGUCGCUUGCCUUUCAAUUCUAGUGUCAUUUCCUCUAUAAAACCUUUUGAAAUAAUUCAUUGUGACAUUUGGGGUCGUUAUCGACACCCUUCCAUUUCUGGUGCUUAUUAUUUUCUUACUAUCGUUGAUGAUUAUACACGUUUCACAUGGAUAUUUUUGAUGCGACACAAAACUGAAGCUCAAUCUCUUAUAAAACGCUUUUUCAGUUAUGUUCUCACACAAUUUGAAUCUCCUAUUAAAAUUUUCCGAAGUGAUAAUGGUGGUGAAUUUAUAUCACUUCGUUCCUUUUUUCAAGAUAAGGGUGUAAUUUUUCAGCAUUCCUGUGUUUACACACCUCAACAAAAUGGGGUUGUGGAACGCAAACAUCGUCACAUCUUACAAGUAGCUCGAGCUUUGAAAUUUCAAGCUCAACUCCCAACCCAAUUUUGGGGAGAGUGUGCUCUUACUGCUGUCCACAUCAUCAAUCGACUCCCUUCCUCAGUGCUCUCCUUCAAAACUCCAUUUGAACUUCUCUAUUCAAAACCGCCUUCUUUUUCUCAUAUCCGGGUUUUUGGUUGCUUAGCUUAUGCUAUCAAUGUACAUCCUUCUCACAAAUUUGACUUUCGCUCAAUGCCCUCAAUUUUUAUUGGUUAUCCUACCGGUCAAAAGGCAUAUAAAUUAUUUGAUUUAUCUUCCAAAAAAAUUUUCACUAGUCGCGAUGUGCGCUUUCAUGAACAUAUUUUUCCUUAUGCAUCUGCCAAACCCGGUUUUGUUCAACAUCCUUCACCCAUUGAAUUUGGUCCUAUUCCUCUUCUAACUCAUGCCACGACUUCUCUUUAUUCCAGUCUACAAACUUCUCCUCCUGUUACAGCACCUGCACCUUCCUGUUCACCGCCAUUUGCCUCCUCAAAUCCCCACCCCUCAUCACCCCAGCCUCCACCCAUCCUCCGCACCUAUACACGUCGCCCUCGGCCUUCUGACCCAAUUCCCCCAGCUGAAAAUACACCACCACCCGAACCCGCCCCACCUGAACCCAGUUGGCCUUCUGAAAAUCCACCACCACCCGAGCCCGCCCCACUUCGUCGCUCCAGUCGCCAUACUGCUCCACCAGCCAAGCUCAACGACUUUGUCUGCUCCAAUGUUUCCUCCAACCAAUCAGCCACCUUACUGCCAGGUCCAUCCAAAGGUACGCGAUAUCCCAUGGCCAACUUUGUUUCAUAUCAUCGUUAUACUCCUGCAUAUCACGCAUUUGUUGCUCAGCUCAGCACCAUCCCAGAGCCUAAGUCUUAUGCAGAGGCUGUUGUUCAUCCUGAAUGGCAGCAGGCCAUGCGCUCCGAACUGGAUGCUCUCCAAGCCAAUGGCACUUGGUCUCUCACCUCCCUGCCGUCAGGCAAGACACCAAUUGGCUGCAGAUGGGUCUACAAAAUUAAACACCAUUCGGAUGGUUCUGUCGAGCGGUACAAAGCUCGUUUAGUCGCCCAAGGUUUCACUCAAAUGGCAGGAGUCGACUAUCAUGAUACAUUUUCUCCUACUGCCAAAAUAAUCUCUGUCCGUUGUUUACUUGCCUUAACUGCAGCUCAUGGCUGGCCCCUGCACCAGAUGGACGUCCACAAUGCUUUCCUUCACGGAGACUUAGCUGAGGAGAUAUAUAUGUCUCUGCCACCAGGUCUUCGGCGCCAGGGGGAGGAUCAUCUAGUUUGUCGCCUCCACAAGUCCCUUUACGGUUUAAAACAGGCAUCCCGCCAGUGGUUUGCCAAAUUUUCCGAAGCUAUGCAUUCUGCUGGUUUUAUACAAUCAAGAGCAGAUUAUUCUCUAUUCACCAGGAAGCAGGGUAUGUCCUUUACUGUUCUCUUGAUAUACGUUGAUGAUAUCUUGAUCACUGGAAAUGAUCUGGUUAACAUUGCUGCAACUAAACAAUUCCUGCAUAAACAUUUUCAUAUCAAAGAUCUUGGUGAUUUAAAAUACUUUCUUGGAAUUGAGGUGUCUACUUCAAAGAAUGGAAUUUUCAUUUCACAACGUAAAUAUGCACUGGAAGUCAUUGAGGAUGCAGGUUUGUCAGGUGCUGCUCCUAUUAAUACUCCUAUGGAACGGGGCUUGAAAUUAUCAGACAAGAGCACCCUGCUCAAGGAUACAAACCGGUAUAGAAGAUUGGUGGGUCGGUUAAUUUAUUUGACUGUAUCAAGGCCAGACAUAACGUAUGCUGUACAUGUCUUGAGUAGAUUUAUGCAGCAGCCCCGAAAACUUCAUAUGGAGGCAGCUCUUCGAGUUGUUCGAUAUCUAAAAGGUGCACCUGGCCGAGGCUUAUUUUUCUCUUCGAAGAGUGAUUUAAAAUUGAGAGCUUAUUGUGACUCAGAUUGGGCAGGCUGUCCACUCACUAGGAGAUCUACAACAGGCUAUUGUGUUUUUCUUGGACCUUCACUGAUAUCCUGGAGGUCGAAGCGCCAGAAAACAGUUUCGCUUUCUUCUGCUGAAGCAGAAUACCGAGCAAUGACAGGAGCCUGCUGUGAGUUAACAUGGUUGCGAUGUCUACUGAAAGACUUGGGAAUUUCACACCGUGAAUCUGCCUUACUAUAUUGUGACAAUAAAGCUGCAUUACACAUUGCAGCCAAUCCAGUGUUUCAUGAGAGAACUAGGCACAUUGAAAUGGAUUGUCACUACAUCCGAGACAAGAUUCAAGAUGGUUCCAUUACUACAAAACAUGUCGACUCUGCACAUCAACUAGCAGAUGUCUUGACUAAGCCCCUGGGAAAAGAGAUCUUUGUUCCUAUGGUUAGCAAGUUAGGAGUGCAGGAUAUCCACUCUCCAACUUGAGGGGGAGUGUUAGGAAAUGAAAUAUUCCCGUGUAUAGAAUAGCAGAGUUGUAUAAAAUAGAAGAUAUGUAUUUAUUCACUUUCCAUUGUAAUGCCUAAUAUGUCGCUACUGAAGCUACAAUGCAGCAACUGAUUCCUGACUUGUAGGAAUCAGUUGCAGCCUCCCUGUAUAAGUAUAUGAUUCAGUAUCAAUAACAAUCACUCUGGUAAAUUCAAUCUUUCUCUUCAUUCUUUUCAAGGUUGAGAGGUUGAACUAUGAAGAAGCUCUUCAACUCUUUAGCUCAAAAGCCUUGAAGAAUUGCAUCCCCACAAUUGAUCAUAGAGACCUGAUAAAAAGGAUUGCAAGUCAUGUACAAGGCAAUCCGUUGGCUCUUAUAGUUUUGAGUUCCUCUCUCUAUGGUAAAAGCCCAGAAGAAUGGUACAGUGCAUUGAAUAAACUAGCUCAGAACCCUCGAAUCGAAAAUGCAUUGAGAAUUAGUUACAAUGGGUUGUAUCAAGAACAACAAUCCAUAUUUCUUGAUAUAGCACAUUUCUUCAGAAAAUUUGAGCAAAACCAAGCUACAAGAAUAUUAGAUGGCUUUUAUGGCCGGCCUGUGAUUUUUGAUAUAAGCAUGCUCAUUGAUAAGUGUCUCAUAACUACUUCUCGGAACAUGCUAGAAAUACAUGAUUUACUACAAGAAAUGGCAUUUAGCAUUGUUCGUGCAGAAUCUAAGUUUCCUGGCAAACGUAGCAGGUUGUGUCAUCUUACUGACAUCGUUCAUGUAUUGGAGGAAAAUAAGGUUAAAGCCGAAGUCAUUAGAUAUCUUUCUUUUCUCUGCUCUGACAUACUAACUGAGAGGUUUCAUAUUUGCUGAAAAGUUGAUUUUUUGAGUACAUUGUAUUAUUGUUUGUUUAUUCUUUAUUCUUGUUUAACAGGGAACUGAAGAAAUUGAAGGCAUAUCUUUGGACAUGUCCAGGUUAUCGAGACAGAUACACUUGAAAUCUGAUGCCUUCGCAAUGAUGGAUGGUCUUAGAUUUAUCAAAUUCUUUUUCGGUCAUUUGUCCCAAGAUAACAAAGAUAAAAUGCACCUUCCUCCUACUGGCCUCGAAUAUCUUUCUAAUAAGCUGAGAUAUUUGCACUGGGAUGGAUUCCCUUCAAAAUCCUUGCCGCAUGUUUUUUGUGCUGAAUAUCUUGUCGAGCUUAACUUAAGCAGGAGCAAGGUUGAAAAACUUUGGACCAGAGUACAGGUAUGAUUUAAUUGCUGUAUAUUUAUGAUCAGAAAUAUGUAGUUGGAGGUGCUAACUUUCUAAUUAUGCCUUUUCCUGUUGACAGGAUGUUGGAAAUGUACAAAAAUUUGUACUAUCUUACUCUCCAUAUUUGACGGAAUUGCCAGAUCUAUCAAAGGCCAGAAAUUUGGUGUCCUUACGCCUUGUAGACUGUCCAAGUUUAACCGAGGUUCCGUUUUCUCUUCAAUAUCUUGACAAGCUGGAAGAACUUGAUCUCAAUUUUUGCUAUAAUCUUAGAAGUUUUCCAAUGCUUGAUUCAAAGGUUCUCAAAGUACUUUCUAUAAGUCGGUGCCUAGAUAUGACCAAGUGUCCAACGAUUUCACAAAAUAUGAAAAGCUUAUAUUUAGAGGAAACUUCAAUCAAAGAAGUUCCACAAUCAAUUACUAGCAAGUUGGAAAAUCUUGGUCUGCAUGGUUGCUCAAAGAUCACCAAGUUUCCAGAGAUUUCAGGGGAUGUAAAAACAUUAUAUCUAAGUGGAACUGCUAUUAAAGAGGUGCCCUCAUCAAUCCAGUUUCUCACAAGACUUUGCGUAUUGGAUAUGAGUGGUUGCUCAAAACUUGAGAGCUUCCCAGAAAUCGCAGUGCCUAUGAAAUCAUUGGUGGAUCUUAACUUGAGUAAAACAGGCAUUAAAGAGAUACCCUCAUCAUUUAAGCAAAUGAUAUCUUUGAGAAGUCUAGGGUUAGAUGGAACGCCUAUUGAAGAGCUACCCUUAUCAAUCAAAGAUAUGGUAUGUUUGAGAUAUCUGGCUUUGCAUGGAACACAUAUUAAAGCGUUACCUGAGCUUCCACCUUCGCUGAGGUCUCUAACAACACAUGACUGUGCAUCACUAGAAACCAUGAUAUCAACCAUCAAUAUCGGCAGAUUAUGGGACUGAUUGAAUUUUGCAAAUUGCUUCAAAUUGGAUCAGAAACCACUGAUAGCAGCAAUGCAUUUGAAAAUUCAGGUAUCUCUCUUAACCCCAUCUUUCUUUCUUCUCUCUUUCUUUCUUGCUUCAUCACAUUUUCGAAAUGUGACUUUUGUGUUAUAGUCCGGAGAUAAGAUCCCAUAUGACAGAAUUCAAAUGGUUCUACCGGGGAGUGAAAUUCCAGAAUGGUUCAGUGACAAAGGAAUUGGAUCUUCACUCACCAUACAGUUGCCCACAAAUUGUCAUCAGCUCAAGGGAAUUGCUUUCUGCCUUGUCUUUCUACUCCCUCUUCCCUCCCAUGAGAUGCUUUAUGAAUUCGAUGAUCAUCCUGAAGUUCGCGUAUAUUUUGAUUGCCAUGUUAAGAGUAAAAAGGGUGAGCAUGAUGGUGAUGAUGAAGAAGUCUUCGUUUCCAAGAAAAGCUAUAGUAUAUUCAAUUUCUUGAAGACAUGUGACUCAGAUCACAUGUUUCUACACUAUGAGCUCGAAUUAGUAAAUCAUUUCCGUAAAUAUUCUGGCAAUGAAGUUACAUGUAAAUUCUACCAUGAAGUGGACAACGGGAGUACGAAAGUAGGUCAUGAGAUUCGAAAGCCUUGCGAGUUGAAAAGCUGUGGUGUAUAUCUGCACUUUGAUGAAAAUCUACAGGCCGGCACUUUGUUAAGGAUCUUCCUUAACAAACAAAAGUUUAGAAGAAAAUUGAGGGAGAAAUAGAAGAAAUUGAAAAGGAGAGAGAGAGAGAGAGAGAGUUCUGCAAUUACUGCAAAUUGUUCGUCAAGUAGUUUUCAAGAUACCUAUACUAGCUGCUUCUUCUGGUACUACUAACUUGCUGCUGUUGUAAUUCUUCUCUAUGACUAACUAACUUUGACCUUACCCUGCAAUUUGUAAUACACUUAUGAUGAGGAUUUGAAGCAAGUAGUUCUGAGAAGGAUUCAAUUUACUAUACGAAUUAUGAAUGAUUAACUUUGUGGGGGUAAUGCAUUUGUAAUUUUAUUUUCUUAUGUAUAUGUAGUUUAAUAUGACCACUGGUAGCGCAGAUUGUUCAUAGUUUAUUCUGUCAGCAGUUAAAGUCUCAAAAAUAUGUUUUUAAAGCACAAAGGUCAUCAAGUAUAGGGAAAAUAAUUUUUAGUUAGAAUGUUUUGGGUUUAGGCCAACAUUAUUGAUAGGACUAAUACUAUUGCCUAUGUAUCAUCAAGUGAAAUAAUUGUAUUUAGUCUAUAUUCCGGUAACCAAAGCUUCACUCCUUCCUUAUGAUUAUGUCGUAAUGCUGACUGAAUCCAAUCCAUAAACCCGGAAACGAAACAAAGCUCGUUCCCUUUCGUCACUGAAGCACUAAUCAUGCUUAAUUUUUCUCUUAAUUCAUUAUUGUGUUCAUUAUAUUUGUUCUUUAUGCUUAUGUCCAACCACCUGUUAAAGACAAUGCUUUGAGAUGAUCAUUUCCUGUUGUACAGCUUAAUAUUGCUCAGUCUAGUAUGAUAGGCUGCGCAUCUUUUUCCUAUUCUGAGCUCACUUUCCAUGUCCCAUGUAAUGCAGAUUAACUGUUAAAAGGACUGCAUGCAUUUCAAAUGUGUGAGAAUCUGGAACAUCUGCUGAUUGUUGUUCCUGCAUGUCCUUGUACUUGAGAAAAUAUUUAUUGCUGAUUGUUGUGUCAUUAGCAAUUAGAUGAUGUUGUGACACUUUCAGCUCUGUCACAAAAGGAGUGUUUGCCUGUUGAGAGAUGUUACAUGCGUUGCUCAUAGAGCAUGGACGCCUUCCAAAAGCACACAUCAAUUAUUUUUUAAUUUUUAAUUAUUUUUUUAUUUUUAAAAAAAUUAAAUUGCCUCUAAUUCACAUUGAUUAUAACUAAAAAGCCUUGAAAAAAUAUAAAAAAACCUCUGAAUAUCAAUUUUUUUUUUAAACAAUGUAGUCAUUUCACUGUACUAUUAAAACAUUAAAAGACUGAAACACCCAUUAAUCCUAGUUUUGAAAAUUUUGCUUUUAAAAAUAUUUAAAUUAUUUUACUGAAAUUCUAAAAUGCUUAAAAACUGAUUUGUCCUCAUUUAAUAGGAUAAUGAUAAUACAUCACAUGAAAAGACUGUAUUGCUUUUAAUGACUAAUUAAAUAGUUUUAUUUUAGAUAUGCAAAAUAAUCACUUCAUUAUUUUAAUUCACAAUUAUAUGUGUCUUUAAUAUAGCUGUUAGUUUUUUUAUUAAUUUUAAUUUUAAUUAAAAGACAUAGCAAGUUGUCUAAACCCUUUUCAUGGACAAAGCAAUGAUCUUCAAUGAUAAAAUAGCAUUUUGAAGCAUGUAAAAAACAGACAAAACAAUUGCUCUAAGAGUUCAAUUGUUUCAAGCCUAUCAAAGUAGCUUAGUCUUAAUAGGAAUGUAUCCUAUAAUUAUUAAAUCAAAUCCAGGAAUGUCUAAACGGGUUUGCUGGGCUAAUUGCUGGUCUGGUUUUUAACCGAUACAGAUCAAAAAAAAAAAAAAAACAAAGAACAAAGAACAAGACCUGAAGGCUGAAGGCUGAAGCCUUCUUGUACAUGGGAAAUUUCCGGGAAGUGAACACCUCUGUACACAUGAGAAAAUAUUUGGAAAAAGGAAACACGUAAUUUCAAUUUUUAAGGAAGACUUAAGAUCAAGUCGUCGUCCCCAUCAAUAAUUACUUCUUCUUUUUACAUGAUUCCUUCCAGCUCAUUACACACAAUCUAUCAUCGGCAGAUGACUUCAGGAACACUCGAUGCCCUUCCUACCAAAUCACAAAAAGAAAAAACAAAUAACAAGACAUUAUGCCUUUCUGUCCACAGGAAAUUACCAAGUAGACGUGCACCCUCUGUAACGUCCAAGAAAAUACAUGGAUUUGAUUUUUUUUAUUUUAAAUUAUUUUUUUUAUUUUUAUAUCAUUUCAAUGGACUGAAUAAAAAAUUAAAUUAAAAAAUUAAAAAAAAUAUUAUUUUGAUGCAUUUUCAAGUGAAAAUUAUUUUGAAAAACAACUGUUAUCACAAUACCACAAAUCCAUCAUAACCAUUAUAAUAUAAUGUAAAGGCAAAAAAGUCUUUGGCAUGUGCAAACACAUGGACCAAAAAUAUAGAAGGUGUUUGCAAGUGUAGUAAUAAUUGAUUUUUAAAAUGUUUUUUUGCUUGAAAAUACAUCAAGAUAAUUUUUUUUCACUUUUAAACAAUAAUUUUUGACACCAACAAUGUUAAAACAAACAGAAAAAACUAAAAAAAAUUAAUCUAAAAUAAAAUAUAAAACAAUUUCUAAAUUUAUUAAAAUAUUGUUUAUACAGCAAAGACAAACAAAACCUAAAUGCCCUUUCCUUCACAUUAAAUUUAUUAAAAUAUUGUUUAUUAAUAUCAUUUUAAUAUACUGAUAUUAAAAAUAAAUUUUAAAAAAUAAAAAAUAUAUAUUAUUUUGUUGCAUCUUCAAGUUAAAAUUAUCUUGAAAAACAAUUGUUACCUCAAUACCAAACAUGUUCUCUAACAAGUUCUUCUCAAUCAAAUUAUCAUAACUAUUAUAAUAUAAUGUGAAUGUAAAAAAGUCUUCGGCACACGCAAACACUUGGAUUGAAGAUAUAUAGGGUGUUUAUAAGUAUAGUAAUAAUUGAUUUUUAAAAUGUUUUUUUGCUUAAAAAUACAUCAAGAUAAUAUAUUUUUUUUAUUUUUAAAGAAUUAUUUUUGACACAGACACAUCAAAACAAACCAAAAAAACCAAAAAAAAAAUUAAUCUAAAAUAAAAUAUAAAAUAAUUUCAAAAUUUAUUAAAACAUUGUUUACAUAGCAAAAGACAAACAAAAGCCUAAAUGCCUUUUACUACGGCAUCACAAAUAACAAGACUUGAAGCCUUUUGUGCAUGGAAAAUUUCCAGGAAGCUAACAAUGUGCACCUUCUAUAAUGCCCCGAGAAAAUACUUGAAUUUGAAUUUUUUUUAUUUUUUGUUUACUUUAAAUUAAUUGUUUUGUGUUUUAAUUAUAUCAUUUUGACUUUUUGAUAUCAAAAAUAAAUUUUAAAAAAUAAAAAAUAUUAUUUUAAUGUAUUUCUAAUCAAAUUUUUUUGAAAAACAACCACUAGUACAAUAUUGAACAGAUUCUCUAACAAAUUCUUUUCAAUAAAAUCAUCAUAACCAUUAUAAUAUAAUAUGAAGGCAAAAGAGUCCUCUGCAAGGCAAAUACUUGAACUGAAGAUAUAGAAGGUGUUUACGAGUAUGGUAAUAAUUGUUUUUUAAAGUGUUUUUCAUUUAAAAAUACAUUAAGAUAAUAUAUUUUUUAUUUUUAAAGAAUUAUUUUUAACACAAACAUAUUAAAACAAACCGAAAAAAACUAAAACAAAUUAAUCUUAAAUAAAAAAAAAUCAAAAUUUAUAAAAACAUUGUUUAUAGGCAAAGAUAAAAUCGCCUUUCCUUCCAUGUGCAUGGCAGCUCCACUGGGCUGCUACGGAAAUUAAAAUGUAUUAAGAUAUUAUUUUUAUUUUUUAAAAAUUAUUUUUAAUUUUAGUAUAUUAAAACAAUUUAAAAAUAUAAAAAUAUUAAAUUUAAAAAAGUAUUAAUUUUUUUUUUAAAAGAGUAUAUUUCUAAAAAGUGUUCUGACACAUUUUGACAAGAAAUUCGUAAUUUCCAGGAAAAUUAUAAAAGAAUUUGAAGUAAAAAUUAAUAGACUAAAGAAUGACGUGGGACAGAAGUGUUUAGUGUUUUUAAAAAAUAUAUAAUAAAAAAGUUAAAGAGAAGAUCAGCUACUCCGCCAAGUGAAUAGCUAAUACAGCUGUGAUAUGAUAAACAAGAAUAUAUAUGCUUUUGAUUUUUAACAAUGGAAUCAACACUGUGCAAUCUUGUAAUGUUCUAAGAAAAUUCUUGGAUUUGAUGCCUAUAAAUUAUACAUAUGCCUAAGGCAGGGUCUUCAACACGUAAAGCCUAAGCUACUGAUUCAAAAUCAGCCUCAUCUUUUUUCCUUGAGUUACUUUCGUUCUCUCCCUACGUACAGACCUACCUUGCCACCAGAGUCCUACUCUUGUUUCCUCGACUGUUUCUCCACAAAACAAUGGCGGUGUUUUUCUUGUUUCUCUCUAUCUUUUUGUUUGUUUUUAUCUGGAGAUUCAUCUUACGAAACUGUCAUCUAUCUCCAUCGCCAUCUACUCCUUCCACCUUAACCACCGCCCAGCCACAAGUAAUUAAACAUGAUCUCUUCCUUAGUUUCAGGGGAGAAGACACCCGUGUUGGUUUUACCAGCCACCUCUAUGCUGCUUUGGACCGGAAACAAAUCCGAACUUUCAUAGAUUAUCAGCUUCGGAGAGGAGAUGAGAUUUCGGCAUCACUUCUGAGAACAAUUGAAGAGGCCAAGCUUUCUGUGAUUGUUUUUUCUGAAAACUAUGCAUCUUCCAAAUGGUGCUUGGAGGAGCUUGCAAAGAUUAUUGAGCGUAGAAGAAAUAAUGGACAGAUAGUUAUUCCAGUAUUCUACAAGGUGGAUCCAUCCCAUGUAAGAAAUCAAACAGGAAGCUUUGGAGAUGCAUUGGCUAGAUUGAUAAAGAAGAAAGCUUUGACGAUGGACAGAGAGCAGAGCUUCAGAGACGCUUUGACGGAUGCAGCCAAUCUAUCUGGAAGGAGCUUAGGGAAUUCUUGAAAAGAUGGAAGAACAAUGUGUAUUGAUUGAGUGAAUGAAUAAAGACCUUAGGUCAUGUAUUUGUACAGCCAAGGCAUUCCUAUGAGUUAGGAAUGGGAACUACAUUACAGGAAAAUCAGCUACAAUAUAGGAACUAAAAUAGGAAAAUAAUAUGUACUGAUUAUCUAUUUCUAUAUAAAGAUAAUGUCAACAUUUAUCUUGUCAACACUCCCCCUCAAGUUGGAGAGUGGAUAUCCUGAACUCCCAACUUGCGAAUCAUAGGGAUGAAACUUUCCUUUCCCAAAGACUUGGUCAGGAUAUCCGCUAGCUGAUGUGUAGAACUCACAUAUCUCGUGAUCACUGAACCGUCUUGAAUCUUGUCUCUAAUGAAAUGGCAGUCCAUCUCAAUGUGCCUAGUCCGCUCAUGGAAAACUGGGUUGGCAGCUAUGUGUAAGGCAGCCUUGUUGUCGCAAAACAAUAGGGCUGCUUCAUGAUGUAUUAGACCCAAGUCUUUCAAUAAUUGACGCAGCCAAGUCAACUCACAGCAGGCUCCUGUCAUUGCGCGAUAUUCGGCUUCGGCGGAAGAAAGGGAAACUGUUUUCUGUCUUUUCGAUCUCCAGGAUAUCAAUGACGGUCCAAGAAACACACAAUAGCCUGUGGUGGAUCUCCUAGUGAGCGGGCAACCUGCCCAGUCUGAGUCACAAUAUGCUCUCAACCUGAAGUCAUUAUUCGAUGAGAAAAAUAGGCCUUGACCUGGUGCACCUUUCAAAUAUCGGACAACCCGAAGUGCUGCUUCCAUGUGAAGCUUUCUGGGCUCAUGCAUAAACCUACUCAAAACAUGCACUGCAUAGGUUAUAUCCGGUCUCGAAACUGUCAGAUAAAUCAAUCUGCCAACCAAUCUUCUAUACUUACUCGGUUCUUUCAACAAAACACCCUGGUCUGAUAAUUUUAAACCUCGUUCCAUAGGAGUGUUAAUUGGGGCAGCCCCCAACAGACCCACAUCCUCAAUAAUUUCCAAAGCAUAUUUACGUUGACAGAUAAAAAUACCCUUCUUGGAUGCAGAAACUUCUAUGCCAAGGAAGUACUUUAGAUUACCAAGGUCUUUAAGAUUAAACUGACUAUGCAGGAAUUUUUUAGUGUCAACAAUGCUAGCAUGAUCAUUUCCAGUUAUUAGAAUAUCAUCCAUAUAUAUCAAAAGUGCAGUAAAGAGCUUGCCUCGUGUUUUGGUGAACAAAGAGUAAUCGGCUCGAGAUUGGAUGAAGCCAGCAGAACACAUGGCCUCCGAGAAUUUUGCAAACCACUGCCUAGACGCCUGUUUCAAACCGUACAACGACUUAUGUAAACGGCACACCAGAUUAUUCUCCCCCUGUCGCUGAAGGCCAGGCGGUGGAGACAUGUAAAUCUCUUCUGCCAAAUCGCCAUGAAGAAAGGCGUUAUUCACGUCCAUUUGAUGCAAGGACCACCCACGGGCUGCAGCUAAGGCAAGCAAGCAGCGCACUGAAAUAAUCUUCGCUGUUGGAGAAAAUGUAUCCUGGUAAUCUAUGCCUUCCAAUUGGGUGAACCCCUUUGCUACCAACCGUGCUUUGUGCCUUUCAACUGACCCAUCUGAUCGGAGCUUGACCUUAUAGACCCAUCGGCAGCCAAUUGGAAUUUUACCAGUGGGAAGUUUGGUAAGAGUCCAGGUGCCGUUAGCUUGUAAAGCCUUCAACUCAGAAGUCAUGGCCUUCUGCCACUCAGGAUGAACAACUGCCUCUGAAUAGGACUUAGGUUCACUGAUGGUGCCGAUUUGAGCAACAAAGGAUCUGUAAUUGGGCAUGUAUCUGUGAUAUGAGAGGUGGUUAAACAGAGGAUGUCGAGUUCCUUUGGUUGGACCCAGCGACAAAGAGAGUGAUUGGUCAGUGUAAACAUUGUUGCAGACGAAAUCCUUGAGCUUGAUCGGUGGAACAGUCUGGCGACUUGAGCGACGGAGAGGAAUAGGGGCAGGAAUGGGGUUAUUUGGUGGAGUGGUGGUUGAUGAGUGCUCGAAUGGUGGAGCUGAAGGAGGUGGCUGUGGGAGUGGUGAAGGUGACGGUGGGUCACGAGGUGAAGGGGACAUGUGUGAUGGCGUCGGUGAAGGAGAGGAAGAUGGUGAAUUUGGUAAAGGUGAGGUAAGGUGAUUUGGCAGGUAAGUGUCUGAUGUGGAAGGAGAAGAAUUGGGCCAAGGGAUGUCACGGGCCAUAAUUGGGAUUGGGCCGGUUUCGGAAAUUUGUGGGCCAGUUUCUGGUGGGUUAAUGGGCUGGACAGAUGCAUAGGGAAAAAUGGUUUCAUGAAAUCUGACAUCGCGGCUAGUAAAAUUUUUUUUAUUUGACAAAUCAAACAAUUUGUAUGCUUUUUGUCCAACGGGAUAACCAAUGAAAAUGGAAGGAAUGGAACGCUGAUCAAACUUAUGAGAAAUGCGCACAUUAGUAGCAUAGGUUAGACAGCCAAAAACACGGAGAUGAGAAAAGGCGGGUUUUUUUGAAAAGAGAAGUUCAAAAGGAGUUUUUAGAGAAAGAACUGGAGAAGGCAAACGAUUGAUUAUGUGGACGGCGGUAAGAGCACAUUCCCCCCAAAAAAGGGUAGGGAGAUGUGCUUGAAAUUUUAAAGCGCGAGCUACUUGUAAAAUAUGACGAUGUUUACGUUCCAGAACCCUAUUUUGUUGCGGCGUGUAGACGCAAGAAUGUUGAAAAACGACCCCAUGAUUUUGAAAAAAAGAACGUAAAGAAAUAAAUUCUCCACCGUUAUCACUUCGAAAUGUUUUUAUUUGAGUUUCAAAUUGGGUCCGAACAAAACUGAAGAAAUUUUUUAAAAGUGAUUGUGCUUCAUUUUUAUGUCGCAUUAAAAAUAUCCAUGUGAAACGAGAAAAAUCAUCCACAAUGGUAAGAAAAUAAUGAGCACCAGUAAGGGAAGGAUGUCGAUAACGACCCCAAAUAUCACAAUGAAUUAUUUCAAAAGGUUUUAUUGAAGAAAUAGUACUAGGACUGAAAGGUAAACGACUCUGCUUUGCCAAAGGACAUAUAUGACAAGCAUUAUUUGACCGAAUUGAAAAUUUUAAAAAAUUCUUGGCAAUGAAACUUAAACAAGGAGAUGAUGCAUGCCCUAAGCGAUGAUGCCAGAGAUCGGUGGAUGAAAUGGUAAGAUUGCAUGUCGGCAGUUUUGUGGGUGGGGAGGCGGUGUUUAUGGUUUUAUUCGUCACAAGUGCCGUUAGAUAAUAUAAGUCGUCUCUUUGUUUACCCAAACCAAUCAUCCUCCUCGUAGCCAGAUCCUGCAAAAUACACCAAUAGGGAAAAAAAGUUAUUGAGCAGUUCAGGCCUCUCGUCAACCGACUAACUGAUAUCAGAUCAACUUUGAAAGUAGGAACACAAAGCACAUUAUGCAGAUAAUAAACAGAGUUCAAAGGUAGCGAUCCUUUGGCGACAAUAUUGACUUUCUCUCCACUGGGCAGCAUUACCGAAUGUAAUGAACAACUUUUAUUUUUACGGAAUAAUUUAAGUGACGAAGAAAUAUGAUCCGUUGCCCCGCUAUCAAUGAUCCAAUCGCGGGAAGUGAUUUUAGACAAACCUGGUUUGGUAACCGCAUUUGCCUGAGAUAUAGAGUCAUCAUUCUUACUAACAAGUGACAAAAGUUGUUUUAAUUGAUCCUCCGAAAUGCGCAUGAACUGGCUGCCAUCAACUUUGGGAUUGGUCUCGGUAAUGCUAUUGGCUGGAGGCCUGGCCCAAGAACUUUCGGCCACAUGAUUCACUGCAGGCCUGGCCCAAGAACUCUCGGCCAUAUGAUUCCCCGCAGGCCUGGCCCUGUUGUUGAAGCUGCGUGAGCCCGGCUGGAAUCUUCCUCUCGGAUGGCCCAUUGGAUAGCCAUUUAAUUCAUAACACGUCUGGACCCAGUGUCCAUUUUCUCCGCAGUGGGAGCAAUUUGGUCGUCCUCUACCUGCGAAAGUCCCCUGUCUCCGUCUGUCUUGGUUGAAACUUUCUGGUUGUCUCUCCUGCGACCGUGGUUCGUGCGAACCGUAUGAACGGUUGAAUCGUCCAUGUCUGGCUGGGUUGGGUCUUCCUCGAACAGCCAUAGCUGCACUGUUGAUGGGUUCAAUUGUGGUAUGCGAUGAAGUGAGGAUUCGCUGUUUCUCUUCCUGAGAAAUUGAAGAAUAUGCCUGCCGAAUUGAAGGAAGAGGAUUCAUGAGGAGGAUCUGCCCGCGAAUAGCACUGUAAGAAUCAUUCAGCCCCAUCAAAAAUUGCAUUAACUUUUGUUGAUCCUGCUGUGCCCCAUGGGUUGUGUUGUCAUAGGAUGCUAAUUCAUCCCACAGUCCUUUCAGUCUGGUAUAAUAGGAAGAAACAGACAGUUGUUCUUGCUUGAAAUAAGCAAUUUCUCGUUGUAUCUCGAAAAUUCGAGGAGCAUUGCUUUGGGAGAAUCUCUCAUUAAGGUCUUCCCAAACCUCAUGUGCAGUAGAGUAAUAAAUCACACUGUUGGAGAUGUCUGGACUGAGUGCAUUGAUAAGCCAUGAAUGCACCAUAUCAUUACACCGAGACCAUGCUGCAUAACCUUCGGGAUCAGUUUCUUCUGAAGGAAUUUUGAUUGAGUUGUUGACAAAACCUAAUUUGUUCUUGGAAUUUAAGGCUAAAGUCAUAGCCCUCUUCCAGGUGGAAUAAUUAUCUCCGUUUAGAGGUUUGGAGACUAAAAUCAGACUUGGGUGAUCGGAGUGAUGAGUAAAGAAAGGAUUUGAGAUGUUUGAUUUUGAGGGAUCUGCAGAGGCAGCAGGAACGGCUGCUUGAUUGUUCAUGCCUGUGUUGGCUGAUAAUUGAUUUUUUUUCUGUGGACAUGGUGAUUGGGAAAGUAGAUACUGGGUAGCCAAUGUAGUGAAGGGAAACGGUGGAUCAAGGAAAGUUAGGAUCUUUGAAUAUGCUCUGAUACCAUGAAAAGAUGGAAGAAGUAUUGAUUGAGUGAAUGAAUACAGACCUUAGGUCAUGUAUUUGUACAGCCAAGGCAUUCCUAUGAGUUAGGAAUGGGAACUACAUUACAGGAAAAUCAGCUACAAUAUAGGAACUAAAAUAGGAAAAUAAUAUGUACUGAUUAUCUAUUUCUAUAUAAAGAUAAUGUCAACAUUUAUCUUGUCAACAAUUCUGAGUAAGCUCUUGAAAUAUAUCCCAUGAGAAAAUAUUCGUUCAUUUGUUGAGGAUUUGAAAUUUAAUUUAAAAUUAUUGAGAAUGAUGAGCUCUGUGAAUCCAUAUUUAUUUAAUUUGAUUUUGAAAACGUUAUAGCGAAACACUUAUAUAGAUAUUAUGUGGUGGGUUGUUUUGUGUAUUAAAAUGUUUUUUUUUUAAUUUUUUUUUUGUGUUUUUAGAUUAUUUUGAUGUAUUUAUAUUAAAAAAUAUAUUUUUAAAAAAAUAUUAUUUGUAGCGAAAUGUUUGUAUAGAUAUUAAGUGGUUGUUUGUUUUUGUGUGUUUUUAUAAAAAAUAAAUAAAAAAUAUUUGCACUGAAAUGAUUGUAUAGAUAUUAAGGUUUGUAUUGAUAUAAUUAAAGUGGUUGUUUGUUUUUAGUGUUUUUAUAUUAUUUUAAUGUAUUUAUAUUAAAAAUAAUAUUUUUUUAAAAAAUAUAUUAUUUCAAUAUAUUUUUUAAAAAUAGUUACUUAGAAAUCCCUACGUUAAUGAGGACAGUCAAAUAGUCAAUGCUUUCUUCUAUGCUUAAAUAAUAUUCUAUCUAUUUAAAUUUUAUUUGAGGUGAAAAGGAUAAGAUAAACACCGAUUACAUGUAGUUUCCAGUUUUCAACGCUUGAUUAACUGUAUCCAUUGCCAAUAAUGAUGCUCAAUUACUCAUACGUGCCUGCUACUAAGGAGUGAGUAUGUUUCUAUGUGUUCUUUCUAUUUGCCAGGCUGGAGUCUGAAUUUAUUAAGAAUAUCGUUGGAGAUGUUUUGAAAAAAUUGCAUGCCAUGUAUUCAAGUCACACUAUGGCGGGUCUACUUGGAAUUGAUGUUCGUGUUAGCAAAGUUGAGUCUUUGUUAAAUAUGGAAUCUCCAGAUGUUCUCAUUGUAGGGAUAUGGGGAAUGGGUGGUAUCGGUAAGUCAACGAUUGCUGAAGCUGUAUGCAACAAGGUUCGUUCUCGAUUUGAAGGAAUAUUUUUUGCAAACUGUAGGCAACAAUCUGAUUUGCGAAGAAGAUUUCUUAAACGGCUGCUUGGCCAAGAAACUCUGAACACUAUGGGCUCGUUGAGUUUUCGAGAUUCUUUUGUGAGGGAUAGACUUCGUCGAAUAAAGGUUUUUAUUGUUCUGGAUGAUGUGGAUAAUUCAAUGGCUUUGGAAGAAUGGAGAGAUUUGCUUGAUGGACGAAACAGUUCAUUUGGUCCGGGCAGUAAAGUUCUCAUAACAAGUAGGGACAAGCAAGUGCUUAGUAACAUAGUAGACGAAACAUACAAGGUUGAGGGGUUGAACUAUGAAGACGCUAUUCAACUCUUUAACUCAAAAGCCUUGAAGAUUUGCAUCCCCACAAUUGAUCAAAGACACUUGAUAGAACAGAUUGCAUGGCAUGUACGAGGCAAUCCGUUGGCUCUUAAAGUUUUGGGUUCCUCUCUUUAUGGUAAAAGCAUCGAAGAAUGGCGCAGUGCAUUGAAGAAACUAGCUCAGGACCCUCAAAUCGAAAGGGCGUUGAGAAUUAGUUACGAUGGGUUGGAUUCAGAACAAAAAUCCAUAUUUCUUGACAUAGCACAUUUCUUCAAUAGAAUGAAGCCAAACGAAGCAACAAGAAUAUUAGAUUGCCUUUAUGGUCGGUCUGUGAUUUUCGAUAUAAGCACGCUCAUUGAUAAGUGUCUCAUAACUACUUUUUAUAACAAUAUACGAAUGCAUGAUUUACUACAAGAAAUGGCAUUUAACAUUGUUCGUGCAGAAUCUGAUUUUCCUGGCGAACGUAGCAGGUUAUGUCAUCCUCCUGAUGUCGUUCAAGUAUUGGAGGAAAAUAAGGUUAAAGCUACAGCCAUUAACUGUCGUUCAUGUAUUUGCUCAAAAGUUGAUGUGUUUGAGUAGAUUGUAUUAUUGUUUGUUUAUUCUUUAUUCUUGUUUAACAGGGAACUCAAAAAAUUAAAGGCAUAUCUUUGAGCACGUUCAUGUUAUCGAGACAGAUACACUUGAAAUCUGAUGCCUUCGCAAUGAUGGAUGGUCUUCGAUUUCUCAAUUUCCGUCAACAUACUUUAUCCAUGGAAGAUAAAAUGCACCUUCCUCCUACCGGCCUCGAAUAUCUUCCUAAUAAGCUGAGAUAUUUGAAAUGGUGUGGAUUCCCUUCGAAAUCCUUGCCGCCAUCUUUUCGUACUGAACGCCUUGUGGAGCUUCACCUAUGCAACAACAAGCUUGUAAAACUUUGGACAGGAGUGCAGGUAUGAUUUAAAUGCUGCAGAUUGAUGAUCAGAAAUAUGAAGUUGGAGGUGCUAACUUUCUAAUUAUGCCGUUUUCUUUUGACAGGAUGUUGGAAAUUUAAGAACAAUUGACCUAUCUGACUCUCCAUAUUUGACGGAAUUGCCAGAUCUAUCAAUGGCCAAAAAUUUACAGUGCUUAAGACUUGCGAAGUGUUCAAGUUUAACCGAGGUUCCGUCAUCUCUUCAAUAUCUUGACAAGCUGGAAGAAAUUGAUCUCUUUUCUUGCUAUAAUCUUAGAAGUUUUCCGAUGCUUGAUUCAAAGGUUCUCAGAAAACUUGUUAUAAGUCGGUGCCUAGAUGUGACCAAGUGUCCAACGAUUUCACAAAAUAUGGUAUGGUUACAGUUGGAACAAACUUCAAUCAAAGAAGUUCCACAAUCAGUUACUAGCAAGUUGGAACGUCUUUGUCUAAAUGGUUGCCCAGAGAUCACCAAGUUUCCAGAGAUUUCAGGGGAUAUAGAAAGAUUAGAACUAAAGGGAACUACUAUUAAAGAGGUGCCCUCAUCAAUCCAGUUUCUCACAAGACUCCGUGAUUUGGAUAUGAGUGGUUGCUCAAAACUUGAGAGCUUCCCAGAAAUCACAGGGCCUAUGAAAUCUUUGGUGGAGCUUAACUUGAGUAAAACAGGCAUUAAAAAGAUACCCUCAUCAUCAUUUAAGCAUAUGAUAUCUUUGAGGCGUCUAAAAUUAGAUGGAACGCCUAUUAAAGAGUUACCUGAGCUUCCCCCUUCGCUUUGGAUUCUAACAACACAUGACUGUGCAUCACUAGAAACCGUGAUAUCAAUCAUCAAAAUCAGAAGUUUAUGGGAUGUAUUGGAUUUUACAAAUUGCUUCAAAUUGGAUCAGAAACCGCUGGUAGCAGCAAUGCAUUUGAAAAUUCAGGUAUCUCUCUAAACCCCCUUGUCUUUCUUUCUUCUCUCUUUCUUGCUUGCUUCAUCACAUUUUUGAAAUGUGACUUUUGUGUUACAGUCCGGAGAUAAGAUCCCACACGGCGGAAUUAAAAUGGUUCUACCGGGGAGUGAAAUUCCAGAAUGGUUCGGUGAAAAAGGAAUUGGAUCUUCACUCACCAUGCAGUUGCCGUCCAAUUGUCAUCAGCUCAAGGGAAUUGCUUUCUGCCUUGUCUUUCUACUCCCUCUUCCCUCCCAUGACAUGCCUUACAAAGUCGAUGAUCUUUUUCCUGUUGAAUUUCGUUUUGAUUACCAUGUUAAGAGUAAAAACGGUGAGCAUGAUGGUGAUGAUGAAGUCGUCUUAGUUUCCAUGGAAAAAUGUGCUCUAACAUGUAACAUGAAGACAUGUGACUCGGAUCACAUGGUUCUACAUUACGAGCUCGAGAACAUAUUGGUAUAUUUUUUACGUAAAUAUUCUGGCAAUGAAGUUACAUUUAAAUUCUACCACCAAGAAGUGGACAACAUGGCGAGGAGGGUAGGUCAUGAGAUCCAAAGGCCGAUCCAAAGGCCUAAUUUCGAGUUGAAAAGCUGUGGGGUGUAUCUGCACUUUGAUGAAAAUCUACCGGCGGACAAAAGUUCAGAAGAAAAUUGAGGGAGAAAUAGAAAGAGAUUGAAAGGGAGAGAGAGUUCUGUAAUUACUGCAAAUUGUUCUUCAAUUAUUACUUGCUUUUCAAGAUAGCUGUAAUUAAAUAUUGUUCUUCCCAUGCAACUAACUAACAAACUUUCUGUUAUCCAACUAAUUCCUCAACAAACUGUAACAACCAUCUAACUAACUAAUGAAUCAUUAGUGCGCAUUUAUUCAUAUACAAAUUAUGAAUGACUGUCUUUAUGCUCUUCUCCACCUUAAUUCACUUGUAAGUUUGGUUUUCUAUUUCUACAAAUAAAUAAAUAUAUUUGUAUACGUCCAUGUUUUGGAUCUUUGAUUUCUAUUUACUAACCAAAUAACGAAAACUUGUUUGUCUCAAGCAAUAAUUAACCAUCAAACACUAAAAGAACCAACUUUUUCAUGGGUUCAUAUCAGCAUUAAUUCAACCAAUUCUUGUUGCUUAUUCGAACAAAAACCUCGCAGAAAUCUCAAGAAAACGCAGGAUGCAGCUCUCCCUCUCUGUGAUGAAACUUUCGGUGGGCUUAGAGGCAAGAUCAAGAACCAACUUUAUCAAAAAUCACAGGAGCCACUAAAACCCAUCUUUCGAAAAACACAAUUAACUGAUAACAAAUCUUAUGCAAUGUAUUAUAUAAAUCUCCACUUUCAAAUUGAAGUUACAAUCAUCUUCCUCAGUUAUCAUAUUCUCAAUUGUUUGGCAAACAUAAACAACAAAAUAUAAAAGAAUAUAACGAGUUAGUAGAUUCUCAAUUCACAAAACCAAGUUUAAUGACUAAUGAAGAAACCAAGUUGUUCCGUGAAUUCACAGUUUUCCUAUCUACUGGGCAGAGUCUUGAAAAUUGCAGGGGCAAGAAAGAUUUAAAUGACCUGAACUAGACACCAUUUAAAAUUAAAAGAAUAGAUGGUGAAGGCCCCAGCAUGAUUCAGUGACGGCAAGGCAAGGAAAAUUAGGGAAUGAAUUAGGCAAACAUUCUCUUUGCCUAAUUCAUUACAUUAUUAAUAGCACUCCUGUGUUGGUGUUCCUGAGCACAUGAUAUCAAUGCACUUGAUUAGAGAAAUGUACAAAACUUGUUCUUUUAUCUGGUAUUAACAUACAAAAUUUGUUUUUCAAGAGGUGAGCAAUGAUAGAAUGUUUCUUAUUCUUUGUACAUGUACAGCUUAGUUAAGUUAUCAGAAUUAUACACCACACUCCAAUAAAUGCCGCCUCCAUGCCUAUGCUUCUGAAAGAUCUACUUUCUCAUUCAAUGGAGUCACUGAUUGAGGUCAUGGAUUCUGAACUUCAGUUUCAGAUGGUUGGGAUUCAUGCUUUGCAGCAGCUUGCAGAACCCGGUUUUGAACAUCUGAGGAUGAAGGUGAUGUAGGUAAACCAAUGCGGUUGUUUUCCAGUUUUCCUGCUGCCCAUGAAAAUGCCUGGACUCCAAGUCUAACAGGGGAGAGAAAACGCCUUCAAAGAAGCAUUUGAAAUCCCAGUCAAUCAAGAUCUCAACAAUCCAAAAACUUGGUUAAACAUGAUCCUGUUAGAAUAUAUGAGAAUAUGCCUCUGAAGAUAACUGUUAGACUUAGUCUUUGGAGUAUUGUUUCUUAACAGAGUCUGAUGCAAGUUUUACUCAAGUUUUACUAUUUUUUCUGUUAUUAGAAGUAAUCCAAUAAUCUCUCAUGUCUGUUGAGAUUUUACAGCAUAUUAUUUCAGUGUUUUUGAGUUUGAUUGUAAGUCUUUAAAUAGGUAUUCUUAUUUUAUAAUACUAUUAUCUUUCAGCUUCAACAUUCUCUCUUUUAAGAAUUCUCUGCAAAUUGUUAUUCAUUGCAAUUGCAGAUUUUAACACCAAAUACUGAAAAGAAUCUAACUGUGAAAAUGAUUAAAUAACUUCUAAAUGUCUGGUGGAGGUUGGGAAAUAUGAACCUUGAUAAUGUCAUAGGCAGUUUGGUUAUCAACACGACUCAGACUUCUGACAUUAUUAGAACAUGGUCAAGAACCUAGUGUUGAAAGAACAUUUAGACACAAAAGAGAUUUGCUAUUUACAAGAUUUUCCAUGCCCUUUACUGUGCGAACACCAAGGUUCAUUUUGUUAAUAAAAAUUAAUCGUCCCAGUCAACAUGUUCAUUUUAUUUCCAUUAUGGUUUACCAAAUUGUGUCAGUUAUACCAUAAAUACAUGAAGGACAAAAGACUUCUGGGGAUCUAGCUUAAUGGUCGAAUGCACGUCAUUUUUAUGGAAUACAUCGAAGGAUCUGAGUACUAGCACAAUAUCAGCUUAGAAAUCAACAUCUCUCUGUGUGUAAAAGAAACAUUGACCAAACCACUAUAACAAAUAAGAGUAUACCUGACUGAAGCCAACGAUGGCAACAGUUUGGCAAGAAGAAUGUGAAGUAGGUUUUUUUUCUUUUUCCCAUCACGUCCAAUUUAUGCUGUAUUACUUCUAUAAGUUAUAUGCUUUCAUUCCUUGUCUCUUUUUGCUUUUAUGUUUCUUCUGUUUUGUACAGCACUGAAUGGGUUCGGAGCUAAAUUUCCUUUCCAGGUUGUUGAAUGAAUUUAAGUUUAAAAUUAUCUUAAUUCAUUACUGUGUUCAUUAUAUUUGUUCUUUAUACUUGUGUGUUAAGACAAUGCUAUGAGAUGAUCAUUUCCUGUUGUACAAACUGAAUAAAAAACCAUUGAAAAAAAAACGGAUAACGGAUAACAAAUUGAAUAAAACAACAGAGACCAACUCUUAAACAAACUAAAAAAACCAUUGAAAAAAAAAAUCGAAUCAAUCCGGGUUAACUUGACUAACAUGUGAUUUGAGAUAUGAGAUCAGAAUAACUUUGUAAAAAAAAAACAAAAAAAAUCAUGAAUUUCAAGACCCAAUAACCUAAUGUCGAAUGAUAAAAUUAAAAAAAAAAAAACUCUUACAAAGAACUUAAAAAGAUCAAAGUUAAAUUGGGUUAAUAUUUGAAAUCUGUAAUAUAGGUUAUGAGAUCAGAAUUACUCUAUAGAAGAUAAACACAAAAAAAUCACAAAGCAAAAUUCCUAAUUAUUCAAGAUUAAAAAAAAAUAUAUCAAUUAAAAAAAUAAAGAUCAUAUUUUAAAAUAAAAUGAGAUAAAAUAAUGAGGGACUAAAUUGAAAAAUAAUAUAAAUUAAGAAAAUUAAAAAAAAAAAGUAAUCAAAUGAAUGAGUAUCAAAUUGAAUAUAAUAAUUAAAUAAAAUAAAAUUUUAAGGGAUGAAAUUGAAAUAAAAAAUCAAGACAUAAAAAACAAAAAACACAUAGCAAUUAAAAGAACACGGAUCAAAUUGAAUACAAAAACUAAAUGAAAUAAAAUGUUGAAAGAUAAAAUUAAAAAAAAAUUCAACUUUAAAAAGUAUUAAAAGUAAAACAAAUAAUAAUUAAAAAAUAAAAAAAAUUGAUACAAAUAUAAAUUAAAUAUGACAUAUUUAAUUUUUGAAAGAGAUGACAUGAAACUCAAAGCUAGAAAAGAAAAAUAAAGAAGAAUCGAACAUGACACAUUUAAGGAAAAUUUUAAAAAAUUAAUUUAAUUAAUUUAAAAUUUUUCUUUAAGAAACAUUUAAUUUAUUUCACUGUGUUUCCAAACACUUGAUUGUGGCGUGUCUAUUACUGGGGUAGAGUAAUAAGUUCCUCCCAUCCCAAUCAAAUCAUCACAGCCAUUAUAAUAUAUUAAAAAUAAACAAAGAACAAGGCUGGUGUAGGUAUCGACUGCUACACCGUGUGUGUGUGUGUACACAAUCUUUCACACCCUCUGUGUAAUGUCCGAGAAAAUACAUAAUAAGUUCUUCCCAAUGAAAUCAUAAUAACCAUUAUAAUAUGGAUGGAAGACUUGAUGAUACCCUUCCCUACCAAAUUACAAAAAACAAAUAAAAAAAAUAACAAGACAUGAAGCCUUUUGUACAUAGAAAAUUUCUAGAAAGUCAAUAAUGUACACCCUCUGUGAUGUUUUAAAAAAAAUACUUGGAUUUGAGAUUUUAAUUUUUUAUUUUAAAUUAUUUUUUUUGUUUUUAAAUUAUUUUGAAGUACUGAUAUCAAAAAUAAAUUAAAAAAAUAAAAAUAUAUUAUUUUGAUGUAUUAAAAAAAACACUUUAAAAAAUAAUCACUACCACAAUAUUGAAUAGAUUCUUUAACAAAUUCUUCUUAAUCAAAUUAUUAUAAUAUAAUAUGAAGGCAAAAAUAUUCUUGGCAUGCUAAAACACUUGCCCUCAAGAUAUGGAAGGUGUUUAUAAGUGAUCUAGUAAUUGUUUUUAAAAGUAUUUUUUGAUUAAAAAUAUAUUAAAAUAAUAUUUUUUAUAAUAUCCCGAGAAAAUUCUUGGAUUUGAAAUUUUUAUAUCAGCAAAUUAAAAUAUUUUAUGUUUUUUAUUUUAAAAAAUUAUUUUUAUAUCAGCAAAUUAAAAUAAUAAAAAAACUAAAAAAAUUAAUUUAAAAAAAAUUAAAAUUUAUAAAAACACUGCAUUACCAUAAAAACAAAACAGCGUAUAAAUUCCUUUUUCUAUCACAUCACCUUGUAACUGGGGAAUUUCCAGGAAAUCAACAAUGUGCAAUCUUGUAAUCUUCUAAGAAAAUUCUUGGAUUUGAUGCCCCCAUUAUUGUAAUUAUAAAUAUGCCUAAGCCAGGGUCUUAAACACGUAAAGCCUAAGAAAAUUUCCAUUAUUGGAUUUGAUGUCUUGUUUCUUCGAAGUGUUUGCUUAUAUCUGGAGAUUCAUCAUACGAAACCCCCGUGUUUCUCCAUCGCCAUCUACUCCUUCCACCUUAACCACCGCCCAGCCACAAGUAAUGAAAUAUAAUGUCUUCCUUAGUUUCAGAGGAGAAGACACUCGUUUUGAUUUUACCAGCCACCUCUAUGCCGCUUUGAACCGGAAGCAAAUCCUGACUUUCAUAGAUUAUCAGCUUGUGAGAGGAGAUGAGAUCUCGGCAUCACUUCUGAGAACAAUUGAAGAGGCCAAGCUUUCUGUGAUUGUUUUUUCUGAAAACUAUGCAUCUUCCAAAUGGUGCUUGGAGGAGCUUGCAAAGAUUUUUGAGCGUAGAAAAAAUAAUGGACAGAUAGUUAUUCCGGUAUUCUACCAGGUGGAUCCAUCCCAUGUAAGAAAUCAAACAGGAAGCUUUGGGGAUGCAUUUGCUAGACUUAUAAAGAAGAAAGCUUUGACGAUGGACAAAGAGCAGAGCUUCAGAGACGCUUUGAAGGAUACAGCCACUCUAUCUGGAUGGACCUUAGGGAAUUCUCAGUAAGCUCUUGAAAUAUAUCCCAUGAGAAAAUAUUCGUUCUUUUGUUGAGCAUUUGAAAUUUAAUUUAAAAUUAUUGACAAUGAUGAUCUCUAUGAAUCCGUAUUUAUUUAAUUUGAUUUUGAAAACGUUGUAGCGAAACCCUUGUACAUAUCUUAAGUUUUAGGAGACAGAAAAAAGAUACUUAAGAAUCCUUAUGUUAAAUUUUAUUAGGACAAUCAAUGUUUUCUUCUUUGUAAGUCUAUUCAUAAAGACUUAUAAAGAAUCGGGUCAUUACUAGUCUAUUUAUUUGAGGUGAAAAAGAUUAUAUAAAUUAUAUGUUUUGAAAUUUUCUCCUAACAACUUAAAUUAAACUUUUUUAAUUAAAAUAAUUAUAUGAUAUGAGAAAACAUCUUAUGCAUUUGCAUAUCAAUGCUUUUUUCUGUUGUUUUACUUGGAAUUUGAUCACUAAUAAUUUAUUUAUUUGAGGUGAAAAAAUUAUGAUGUGUUGAAAAAUAAUAUAAAUUAUAUUUUAAGAUUUUUUUUUCUAAUAUCUUAACUUAUUUUGCUUAAUAUUUUUUUAUUGAGAUGAUUCUAUGAUAAGAUGAUACGAAAAAACAUCUUAUUUAUGUAUUUGCAUUUCAUUGAUUUUCUUAGAUAUAUACUUGCAAGUAGUUUCCAGUUUCUAUGAUUGAUUAACUGUAGCUUGAGAUAAAUAGGGAGCUGCUGCAUAUUUAUAAACUCAAAUGCAUUCUCUCGGGAGGCCCAGUAAGAGAAUCUUGUCCAGGUGUAUGAAUACAUGCUCACCUUAUAAAAGAGCAUAAUAUAGAUAGAGGCUCUUCCUUUCUUUCCCAGCGUAUAAUAUAGUUUCCAGUUUCAAUGAUUGAUCCUUUAUUUGUUAUUGGAUGAGUCACUAGUCUUUCCUACUCGAUGUCAUCAUCGAUUCAUGUGUUACAUUAGCACUAUCCAUUGCUAAUAAUGAUGCUCAAUUACUCGUACGUGUCUACUAUGUAUAGAUGUAGCUACUAAGGAGUGAGUAUGUUUAUAUGUUUCUUCUUGUCCGGUCCAUUUUGACUAACAAUUAGGUGUGUUUUUCUUGUUUGUCAGGCUGGAGUCUGAAUUUAUUGAGAAAAUCGUUGGAGAUGUUUCGAACAAAUUACAAGCCAUGUCUUCAAGUCACACUACAGCUCUAUUUGGAAUUGAUGUUCGUGUUAACAAAGUUGAGUCUUUGUUAAAAAUGGAAUCUCCAGAUGUUCUCAUUGUAGGGAUACGGGGAAUGGGUGGUAUCGGUAAGACAACGAUUGCUCAAGCUGUGAGCAACAAGGUUCGUUCUCGAUUUGAAGGAAUCUUUUUUGCAAACUUUAGGCAAGAAUUAGAAACAGGUUCCAUGGCUGAUUUGCAAAGAAGAUUUCUUUCACAGCUGCUUGGCCAAGAAAUUCUGAACAAUAGCUUCUUGAGUUUUCGAGAUUCUUUUGUGAGGGAGAGACUUCGUCGUAAAACGGUUUUUAUUGUUCUGGAUGAUGUGGAUGAUUCAAUCCCUUUGGAAGGAUGGACAGAUUUGCUUGAUGGACGCAGUUCAUUUGGUCGGGGCAGUAAAGUUCUCAUAACAAGUAGGGAUAAACAAGUGUUUAAGAAUGUAGUAGACGAAACAUACGAGGUUGAGGGGUUGAACUAUGAAGACUCUCUUAAACUCUUUAGCUCAAAAGCCUUGAAGAAUUGCAGCCCCACAAUUGAUCAUAGAGAAUUGAUAGAAAAGAUUGCAAGUCAUGUACAAGGCAAUCCGUUGGCUCUUAUAGAUUUGGGUUCCUCUCUCUAUGGUAAAAGCACUGUAGAAUGGUGCAGUGCAUUGAAUAAACUAGCUCAGAACCCUCGAAUCGAAAAGGCAUAAAGAAUUAGUUACAAUGGGUUGGAAGUUGGAUCAAGAAUAACAAUCCAUAUUUCUUGAUGUAGCACAUUUCUUCAGAAGAUUUGAACAAAACCAAGUUACAAGAAUAUUAGAUGGCUUUUAUUGUCGGCCUGUGGUUUUUGAUAAAAGCACGCUCAUUGAUGAGUGUCUCAUAACUACUUCUCAUAACAUGCUAGAAAUGGUAUUUAGCAUUGUUUGUGUAAAAUCUAAGUUUCCUGGAAAACUUAUGCGGAACAAUAAAUGUAGGCUUGGUUUCAGACCUGGUUUCCAUUAUGAUUUACCAAAUUGUGCCACUUACACCAUAAAUACAUGAAAGACAAAAGACUUCUCGGGUAGGUUAUACUCACAUCUUCAGGGUCAUUGUAAGAAGCAACCCGCCGAUAAAUAGUCUGAUAGAGCGUGAGAAACCAAUAAUUAGAGAAACUUAAGAUUCACUAAACUAAAUUUAGUAAUGACAUAAAACUUUCCCCAGGACGCAUGCAAAAUAGACAAAGGAUCUGAGUACUUGCACAAUAUCAGAAAAGUGUGAAGUUUGUUUUGAACAUUAUCAGCUUAGAAAUCAACAUCUGUGUAUGUGUGAAAGAACCAUUGACCAAAGCACUAUAACAAAUAAGAGCAUACAUGACUGAGGCCAAUGAUGGCAAUAAAUUGUAAAUUAUAAGGUCUUCUCCCACUCUGAAACCAAUUCAAGCUUGGUUGGCAAGAAGAAUGCGAGGAAAGCAACGAAAAGGAAAUGAAAAAAAUUAUAGAAAACAUGAAUUUAUAUCGUUGGUUCUAUAUGAUAAUAAAAAAGCUCAUAAAAUCAGUCACAGCCCAAUACUAAAAUAUUUAUUUUAAUAGAGAAAAUGGGUGAAGAUUCGUUUAGCAGGACUGGGAUGCAAAAACAGAGUAUUUUACAGAAUUGCUGCUGCUGAUAGCCAUACUCUAAGAGAUGGCAAACACCUUCAGGUUGGUUUCUACGACCCCUUAGCAGUUUCCCUCUUCUUCUCUUAUUAUUUUCAUAUGCUCAGUUCACAUGAAGAUUUUUUUUCUAAUUUUAAAGACCUGGACUUUGAAGGCUUAUUGUGUUUAUUUUCAGGUUCUCAUAAAAUCAUUGAGUAUUUCUUUCCUCUUUUGUUUUUCCGCAUAAGGUUGGAUGUAGGCGUAAAAUGACAUGAAAGCUCACAUCAUGAAAAUCACCAGUUGUCGUUAUCAACAGUCAUAGCACUCGCCAGGAAGAGUACUUAAGGUCAAUAUGAAGAGGAGGAUUGGCCCCAUCGAUCCCCCGUCCCUUCCUCUCUCCUUCAAGACGACUUCUUUUUCUUCUUCUUCUUCACAAUCAAUAUAUAUAUAUAUAUAUAUAUAUAUAUAUAUAUAUAUAUAUAUUUAUUUGGAUGGAUUGUGUGUAAUGAGGUGGAAGGAAGCAUGUAAAAAGAAGAAGUAAUUAUAAUUACAUGGGGCAGAGUAGCAUGUAAAAAGAAGAAGUAAUUAUAAUUACAUGGCUGCAUGCCAAUUAUGUUGCCCAAAGCAGUAAACAGAACCACUACUGUGAUUUUCCAUCCCUUUUAUAUUAAAGUCGUAGUUUAAAAUAGCAGUUUUUUUAAAACCAUGUUUUUUUAAAAAAAAAUUAAAUUAAACCAUAUUAUAUAUUUCUCUAACUGUAUCAAUUUUUUUUAAAAAAAAAUUCCUAUUAUUGGGGCAGAGUAACAAGUUUUUCCCAAUGAAAUCCUUAUAAUCACUAUAAUAUAAUUGGAAGUCAACAAAGUCCUAGUACGUGCAAACACUUGUAUCGAAGACUCGAUGCCCUUCCUACCAAAUCACAAAAAAAAAAAAAAAACAAAUAACAAGACAUUAAACCUUUCUGUAACGUCCGAGAAAAUACAUGGAUUUGAUUUUUUAUUUUAAAUUAAUUUUUAUAUUUUUAUAUCAUUUUAAUAUAUUGAUAUAAAAAAUAAAUGUUAAAAAAUUAAAAAUAUAUAUUAUUUUAAUGUAUUUUCAAGUAAAAAUUAUCUUGAAGAACAAAAGCAACUGUUUCUUAAAAAAAUAAAGACAAAAAAUUCGUAAUUUCCAGGAAAAUUAUAAAAGAAUUUGAAGUAAAAAUUAAUAGAAUAAAGAAUGAUGUGGGACAGAAGUAAUUAUUUUACUGUUUCUUUUCUUCUUCUUCUUCUUCUCGUCAACAGUCAUGUUGACGAGAAACACAUAAUUUCCAAACUCAGCUUCCCGAACACGCUGCCCAAGCACUCGCCAGGAAGACUACUUAAGGUCAAGUCGUCGUCCCCGUCAAUAUGAAGAAGAGGAUUGGCCCCAUCGGUCCCCCGUCCCUUCCUCUCUCCUUCAAGACAACUUCUUUUUCUUCUUCUUCUUCACAAUAAAUAAAUAUAUAUAUAUAUAUAUAUAAAAGGAAAAUGGAAAUGGCAUCUGCCUAUUUAUUUGGAUAGAUUGUGUGUAAUGAGGUGGAAGGAAGCAUGUAAAAAGAAGAAGAAGUAAUUAUAAUUACAUGGCUGCAUGCCAAUUAUGUUGCCAAAAGCAGUAAACAGAACCACUACUGUGAUUUUCCAUCCCUUUUAUAUUAAAGUCGUAGCUAAAUGCGCUUUCCUUUCCCUGUUCCCCAUCACAGAAAAACAAAUAACAAGACCUGAAGCCUUUUGUACAUGAGAAAUUUACAGGAAGUCAACAGCGUGCACCCACUCUAAUGUCCUCAGAACAUACUUGGAUUUGAAUUUUGUUUAUUUUUUUUAUUUUAAAUUAAUUUUUUUAUGUUUUAAUAUCAUUUUGUUAUUUUGAUAUAAAAAAUGAAUUUUAAAAAAUAUAUUAUUUUAAUAUAUUUUCAAAUAAAAAAACAGUUUGAAUAACAAAUGCUAACACAAUAUCAAAUAGGUUCUCUAACCAGUUCUUUUCAAUUAAAUUAUUAUAACCAUUAUAAUAUAAAAUGAAGGUAAAAAAGUCCUCCGUAAGGCAAACACUUGGACUGAAGAUAUGGAGGGUGUUUACGAGUAUGAUAACAAAUGUUUUUUUAAAUAUUUUUUAUUUAAAAAAAUAUUAAGAUAAUAUAUUUUUUAUUUUUAAAGAAUUAUAUUUGACAUUAACACCUCAAAACAAAAAAAAAAUAAAAAUAAAAAUUAAUCUCAAAUAAAAUAUAUAAAAAUUCAAAAUUUAUUAAAAUAUUAGUUAUACCGCAAAGACAAACAAAACUAUGCGUUUUCCUUCCCCGUCACAGAAAAGCAUAUAACAAGACCUGAAGCCUUUUAUACAUGAGAAAUUUACAGUAUGUCAACAGUGUGCACCCUCUCUAAUGUCCUCAGAAAAUACUUGGAUUUGAUGCCUCAAUUAUUAUAAUUGUACAUAUGCCUCUAAUUAUAUUUAUAAGUGAUAAAAGACUAAAUUUUCUUGAUUUCAUAUGGAUUGUAACUAAAAAGCUAUGAAAAAAAUAUACAAAAAACUCUUGGAUAUUAAUUUUAUUUUUUUUGCAUUUACGAGCAAUAUAGUCAUUUCAUUACGUUAUCAAAACGUUAAAAGAUUAUAACACUUAUAGUCAUUUCAUUACGUUAAAAUUAAACAAAAAAAUAACAAGUUUGCUAUAUAAAAAAUAAAAAUGGAUGCAUGUCAUUCCCUCAUUGAAAAAAUUCCACAUGUGGACCUAGCCUUUCUAGGGCUAAGGGAGCAAAUCUUACAAAUUAAAAAGUUGAAUUAGAAUGAAAUUGAAAAAAAAUAUAAUUUCAUAAAUUAUCUCAAAUAAAAUAAAUAAUAAUCAAAAUAAUAGAGAUCAAAUCUAAAAAAUAAAAAAAUAAAAGAUGAAAAAAUUAAAAUAAUAAUAAUAAAUAUUUCAUAAAUUAUUUCAAAUAAAAUAAGUAACAAUCAAAAGAAUGAGGAUCAAAUUUGAUAGAUAAAAAAGUUUAAUAAAAAAAUAAUAAGAGAAAAACAAAUAACAAUUAUAAAAAUGAGAACCAAAGUUAAUAUAAAAAUUAAAUUUUAAGAGAUGAAAUUGAAAAUAAAUAUUCAAAACAAAAUAUAUAUAGCAAUGAAAAGUUUGAGGACCAAAUUUGAUAUAAUCAGCAAAUAAUAUAAUAUUUCUAAAUUUUUCAUAACUUCCAGAUAAUAUAGGUAAAAAAGAGACAAAACAAUUGCUCUAAGAGUUCAAUUGUUUCAAGCCUAACAAAGCAGCUUAGUCUUAAUAGGAAUGUAUCCUAUAUUAACAAAAUCCUCUAAACCGUGUGGGGGAUUUACUGUUCCCCCACACACACAAAACACUGUGGAUUACAACAGUAAUUCACAGUGUUUUUUUUUCCUUCUUUUUUUUGCUAACUUUUCCCUUUUUUCUUUUUUUUUUUUUUUUUGUUUUUUUUUUUGCAAAAAAGUUUUUUUCAACUUUCUUAUUUUUUCUUUUUUUUUCAUUUAUUUUUUUUUCAAAACUAUUUUUUGUUGAUUUUACCUUUUAAAUAUUGACAUGGUUAAAAUUUUUGCUUUGUAAUUUUUUUUUUAAAUACUAUGGAUUGCUGCGAUGUUUUUCCACUUAGUUUUUCUAUUUUAUUUCUUUAUUUUUCAAAAUGAUAUUUGUCGAUUUUUUUUUAAUAUUGAGCUAAUUGAGAAUUUGGUUUUGUAAUUUUUUUCUUUAAAACAUUGUUGAUUGCUACAGUGUUUCUCCGCAUGGUUUUUUUUCCUCCAAAAUUAUCUUUAUUUUAUUUUAUUUUUUAAUAUUGAGCUGGUUAAAAAUUACAGUUACAAUAUGUGAGGAAAGCACUAUAACUUUUUUUGAAAAUUACUGUCCAUUGCUGCAGUGUUUUUUCCCAUAUGGUUUUUUUUAUAAUUUUUUUCAAAUUAUCCUUUUUAAUUUUAUUUUUUUAAUAUUGAGUUGUUUGUUAAUUACAAUUACAAGUCAUUAUAAAUAAGGCUAAAUCAUGUGAGGAAGCACUAUAGCUUUCAUCACAAAACACUGUGAAUUGCUACAGUGUUUCCAACAUGAUUUUUUUUUCCUUUUUUUUGUGUUUGUUUUGUUAUUUUUUUUUUAUAAAAUUGUCUCUAUCAAUUUUGUUUUUAAUAUUGAGCUGACUAAGAAUUUAACUUUGUAAUUUUUCUUCUUUAAAACACUGUGAAUUGUUGCAGUGUUUUCCCAUGUGAUUUUUUUAUGAUUUUUUCCAAAAUUAUCUUUGUCGAUUUUUUUUUAAUGACCUGGUUAAAAUUUUUGCUUUGUAAUUUUUUUUUAAAUACUGUGGAUUGUUGCGAUGUUUUUCCACUUAUUUUUUCUAUUUUAUUUCUUUAUUUUUCAAAAUUAUAUUUGUUGAUUUUUUUUAAUAUUGAGCUGAUUGAGAAUUUGGUUUUUUAAUUUUUUUCUUUAAAACAUUGUUGAUUGCUACAGUGUUUCUCCGCAUGGUUUUUUUUCCUCCAAAAUUAUCUUUAUUUUAUUUUAUUUUUUAAUAUUGAGCUGGUUAAAAAUUACAGUUACAAUAUAUGAGGAAAGCACUAUAACUUUUUUUUGAAAAUUACUGUCCAUUGCUGCAGUGUUUUUUCCCAUAUGGUUUUUUUUAUAAUUUUUUUCAAAUUAUCCUUUUUAAUUUUAUUUUUUUAAUAUUGAGUUGUUUGUGAAUUACAAUUACAAGUCAUUACAAAUAAGGCUAAAUCAUGUGGGGAAGCACUGUAGCUUUCAUCACAAAACACUGUGAAUUGCUACAGUGUUUCCAACAUGAUUUUUUUUUCCUUUUUUUGGUGUUUGUUUUGUUAUUUUUUUUUAUAAAAUUAUCUCUAUCGAUUUUUUUUUUAAUAUUGAGCUGAUUAAGAAUUAAAAUUUGUAAUUUUUCUUCUUUAAAACACUGUGAAUUGUUACAGUGUUUUCCCAUGUGAUUUUUUUAUGAUUUUUUUCAAAAUUAUCUUUGUCGAUUUUUUUUUAAUAUUGAGUUGGUUAAGAAUUAUAAUUACAAUAAAACUAAAUCAUAUGAGGAAAGCGUUGUAGUUUUUCUCACAAAAUACUGUGGAUUGUUACAAUAUUUCUCUAAAUGUUUUUUAUUUUAUUUUAUUGGGAAAAGUGUUAUAGUUUUCCUCCCAAAACAUUGUCAAUUACUACUACGUUUUUUCUCAUGGGUUUUUUUCCUUCCAAAAUUAUCUUUGUUGGUUUUUUUUUUUAAAAUAUUAAGUUGGUGAAGAAUUUAGCUUUGUAAUUUUUUUUUUUUUAUUAACUGAAAAGCUAAAUCAUGUGAUGAAAAUACUGUAUCUUUCAUCACAAAAUACUGUAAAUUGCUAUAAAUCAUUUUGUUCAGUCUCUAAGUUUUGGAUCGCCAACACAACUUUUUUUUCGUCAUGAAAUAUUUGCUCCAUCAUACCUUUAAUUUCUAUUACUUAUAUAGCGCUGGUUCACAAUUAUAACACUAUCAAGUGCAUUUGUUUUAUAAGCCCACGGCAGCGCGCGGGCAUGUCAUCUCAUAAUUAUUAAAUCAAAUCCAGGAGUUGACCUUGUAUGUCAAACGGGUUUGCUGGGCUAAUUGCUGGUCUGGUUUUUAACCGAUGCAGAUAAAAAAAAACGAAUAACAAACACUUGAUUGUUGCGUGUAGAAGACUUGAUGCCCAUUCCUACCAAAUCACAAAUAAACAAAGAACAAGACCUGAAGGCUGAAGCCUUCUUGUACAUGGGAAUUUGGUAAUUUCAAUUUUUAAGGAAGACUUAAGAUCAAGUCGUCGUCCCCAUCAAUAAUUACUUCUUCUUUUUACAUGAUUCCUUCCAGCUCAUUACACACAAUCUAUCAUCCGCAGAUGACUUAAGGAACACUCGAUGCCCUUCCUACCAAAUCACAAAUAAACAAAGAACAAGACCUGAAGCCUUUUUAUACAGGAAAUUACCAAGUAGAUGUGCACCCUCUGUAACGUCCAAGAAAAUACAUGGAUUUGAUUUUUUUUUAUUUUAAAUUAUUUUUAUAUCAUUUCAAUGGACUGAAUAAAAAAUUACCAAGUAGAUGUGCACCCUCUGUAAGCCUUCUGUGCAUGGAAAAUUUCCAGGAAGCUAACAAUGUGCACCUUUUGUGAUGCCCUGAGAAAAUACUUGAAUUUAAUUUUUUUUUAUUUUUUGUUUACUUUAAAUUAAUUUUUGUGUGUGUUUUAAUUAUAUUAUUUUGACUUUCUGAUAUCAAAAAUAAAUUUUUUUAAAAAAAAUAUUAUUUUGAUGCAUUUCUAAUAAAAAAACAAUUUGAAAAAUAACCACUAAUACAAUAUGAAACAUGCUCUCUAACAAGUUCUUUUCAAUUAAAUCAUCAUAACCAUUAUAAUAUAAUAUGAAGGCAAAAGUGUCCUCCGAAAGGCAAAUACUUGGAUUGAAGUUAUAGAAGGUGUUUACGAGUAUGGUAUAAUUAUUUUUUAAAGUAUUUUUUAUUUAAAUAUAUAUUAAGAUAAUAUAUUUUUUAUUUUUAAAGAAUUAUUUUUACUAUAACAUAUUAAAACAAACCGAAAAAAACUAAAACAAAUUAAUCUUAAAUAAAAAAUAAAAAAAAUCAAAAUUUAUAAAAAUUAACAUUGUUUAUAGGCAAAGAUAAAAUCGCCUUUCCUUCCAUGUGCAUGGCAGCUCCACUGGGCUGCUACGGGAAAUUAUAAUGUAUUAAAAUAUUGUUUUUAUUUUUUAAAAAAUUAUUUUAAUUUUAGUAUAUUAAAACAAUUUAAAAAUAUAAAAAUAUUAAAUUUUUAUUUUUUUUAUAAAAAAAAACAGUAUAUUUCUAAAAAGUGUUCUGACACAUUUUGAUAUGACCAUUAUCAAAAGCAACCAUUCCUUAAAAAUGAAGACAGGAAAUUCGUAAUUUCCAGGAAAAUUAUAAAAGAAUUUGAAGUAAUAAUUAAUAGACUAAAGAAUGAUCGAUGUGGGACAUACAGAAGUGUUUAGUAUUUUUAAAAAAUAUAUAAUAAAAAAGUUAAAGAGAAAAUAACAAAAGAUCAGCUACUCCGCCAAGUGAAUACCUAAUACAUUGGAUUACUCAACCAAUGUGCAAUCUUGUAACUGGGGAAUUUCCAGGAAAUCAACAAUGUACGUGCAAUCUUGUAAUGUUCUAAGAAAAUUCUUGGAUUUGAUGCCUAUAAAUUAUACAUAUGCCUAAGGCAGGUUCUUAAACACGUAAAGCCUAAGCUACUGUUUCAAAAUCAGCCUCAUCUUUUUUCCUUGAGUUACUUCCGUUCUCUCCCUACGUACAGACCUACCUUGCCACCAGAGUCCUACUCUUGUUUCCUCGACUGUUUCUCCACAAAACAAUGGCGUUGUUUUUCUUGUUUCUCUCUAUCUUUUUGUUUGUUUUUAUCUGGAGAUUCAUCAUACGAAACUGUCAUAUAUCUCCAUCGCCAUCUACUCCUUCCACCUUAACCACCGCCCAGCCACAAGUAAUUAAACAUGAUGUCUUCCUUAGUUUCAGGGGAGAAGACACCCGUGGUGGUUUUACCAGCCACCUCUAUGCUGCUUUGGACCGGAAACAAAUCCGAGCUUUCAUAGAUUAUCAGCUUCGGAGAGGAGAUGAGAUUUCGGCAUCACUUCUGAGAACAAUUGAAGAGGCCAAGCUUUCUGUGAUUGUUUUUUCUGAAAACUAUGCAUCUUCCAAAUGGUGCUUGGAGGAGCUUGCAAAGAUUAUUGAGCGUAGAAGAAAUAAUGGACAGAUAGUUAUUCCAGUAUUCUACAAGGUGGAUCCAUCCCAUGUAAGAAAUCAAACACGAAGCUUUGGAGAUGCAUUGGCUAGAUUGAUAAAGAAGAAAGCUUUGACGAUGGACAAAGAGCAGAGCUUCAGAGACGCUUUGACGGCUGCAGCCAAUCUAUCUGGAUGGAGCUUAGGGAAUUCUGAGUAAGCUCUUGACAUAUAUCCCAUGAGAAAAUUUUCGUUCAUUUGUUGAGGAUUUGAAAUUUAAUUUAAAAUUAUUGAGAAUGAUGAGCUCUGUGAAUCCAUAUUUAUUUUAUUUGAUUUUGAAAACUUUAUUUUGUAAAAACUUUAUUUUUUUAUUUUAAAUUAAUUUUUAGUGUUUUUAAAUUAUUUUAAUAUGUUUAUAUUAAAAAUAAUUUUGGAAAAAAAAUAUUAUUUGUAGUGAAACGCUGGUAUAAAUAUUAAGGCUUGUAUUGAUAUAUAUUAAGUGGUUGUUUGUUUUUAUGUUUCAAAAUGUUUUUUUUAAUUAUUCUUUUUAUUUUAAAUAUUUUUUUAGUUUUUUAAGAUUAUUUUGAUGUAUUUAUAUAAAAAAUAAUAUAUUUUUGAAAAAUAAUUUUUGAUCCUUACGGUAAAUUUUACAAGGACAGACAAUGUUUUCUUUUGUCGUUAAAUAAUAUUCUAUUUAUUUGAGGUGAAAAGGAUGAUAUGAGAAAACAUCUUAUGCAUUUGCAGUUAAUUGAUUACAUGUAGUUUCCAGUUUUCAACGUACGCUUGAUUAAUAUAGAAUGUCAUGUAUUUUUACAUUAGCACUAUCCUUGCCAAUAAUGAUGCUCAAUUACUCAUACGUGCCUGCUACUAAAAAGUGAGUAUGUUUCUAUGUGUUCUUCUUAUUUGCCAGGCUGGAGUUUGAAUUUAUUAAGAAUAUCGUUGGAGAUGUUUUGGAAAAAUUGCAUGCCAUGUCUUCAAGUCACACUAUGGCGGGUCUACUUGGAAUUGAUGUUCAUGUUAGCAAAGUUGAGUCUUUGUUAAAUAUAGAAUCUCCAGAUGUUCUCAUUGUAGGGAUAUGGGGAAUGGGUGGUAUCGGUAAGACAACGAUUGCUGAAGCUGUAUGCAACAAGGUUCAUUCUCAAUUUGAAAGAAUCUUUUUUGCAAACUGUAGGCAACAAUCUGAUUUGCCAAGAAGAUUUCUUAAACGGCUGCUUGGCCAAGAAACUCUGAACACUAUGGGCUCCUUGAGUUUUCUAGAUUCUUUUGUGAGGGAUAGACUUCGUCGAAUUAAGGUUUUCAUUGUUCUGGAUGACGUGGAUGAUUUAAUGCGUUUGGAUGAAUGGAGAGAUUUGCUUGAUGGACGAAACAAUUCAUUUGGUUCGGGCAGUAAAGUUCUCAUAACAAGUAGGAACAAGCAACUGCUUAAGAAUGUAGUUGAUGAGACAUACGAGGUUGAGGGGUUGAACUAUGCAGACGCUAUUCAACUCUUUAGCUCAAAAGCCUUGAAGAAUUGCAUCCCCACAAUUGAUCAAAGACACUUGAUAAUAAAGAAUGUAAGGCAUGUACAAGGCAAUCCGUUGGCUCUUAAAGUUUUGGGUUCCUCUCUCUAUGAUAAAAGCAUCGAAGAAUGGCGCAGUGCAUUGAAGAAACUAGCUCUGGACCCUCAAAUCGAAAGGGCGUUGAGAAUUAGUUACGAUGGGUUGGAUUUAGAACAAAAACCCAUAUUUCUUGACAUAGCACAUUUCUUCAAAGGACGGAUGCAAGGCGAAGCAACAGGAAUAUUAGAUUGCUUAUAUGGUCAGUCUGUGAAUUUUGAUAUAAGCACGCUUAUUGAUAAGUGUCUCAUAAGUACUGCAAAGGAUUACUUUCAUCGUGACAAGCUAGAAAUGCAUGAUUUACUACAAGAAAUGGCAUUUAACAUUGUUCGUGCAGAAUCUGAUUUUCCUGGCGAACGUAGCAGGUUAAGUCAUCCUCCUGAUGUCGUUCAAUUAUUGGAGGAAAAUAAGGUUAAAGCUACAGCCAUUAACUGUCGUUCAUGUAUUUGCUCAAAAGUUGAUGUGUUUGAGUAGAUUGUAUUAUUGUUUGUUUAUUCUUUAUUCUUGUUUAACAGGGUACUCAACAAAUUAAAGGCAUAUCUUUGGACAUGUCCAUGUUAUCGAGACAGAUACACUUGAAAUCUGAUGCAUUCGCAAUGAUGGAUGGUCUUCGAUUUCUCAAUAUCUAUUUCAGUCGUUACUCCAAAGAAGAUAAAAUAUUGCACCUUCCUCCUACUGGCCUUGAAUAUCUUCCUAAUGAGCUGAGAUAUUUUUUAUGGUCUAGAUUCCCUUUGAAAUCCUUGCCGCCAUCUUUUCGUGCUGAACACCUUGUCGAGCUUCACCUAAGGAAAAGCAAGCUUGUAAAACUUUGGACAGGAGUAAAGGUAUGAUUUAAUAGCUACAGAUUAUGAUCAGAAAUAUGAAGCUGGAGGUGCUAACUUUCUAAUCAUGCCUUUUUCUGUUGACAGGAUGUUGGGAAUUUAAGAAGAAUUGACCUAUCUGACUCUCCAUAUUUGACGGAAUUGCCAGAUCUAUCAAUGGCCAAAAAUUUAGUGUCCUUAGAUCUUACGGACUGUCCAAGUUUAAUCGAGGUUCCGUCAUCUCUUCAAUAUCUUGACAAGCUGGAAAAAAUUUAUCUCUUUCGUUGCUAUAAUCUUAGAAGUUUUCCAAUGCUUGAUUCAAAGGUUCUCAGAUUCCUUCUUAUAAGUCGGUGCCUGGAUGUGACCACGUGUCCAACGAUUUCACAAAAUAUGGAAUGGUUAUGGUUGGAACAAACUUCAAUCAAAGAAGUUCCACAAUCAGUUACUGGCAAGUUGGAACGUCUUUGUCUAAGUGGUUGCCCAGAGAUCACCAAGUUUCCAGAGAUUUCAGGGGAUAUAGAAAUAUUAGAUCUAAGGGGAACUGCUAUUAAAGAGGUGCCCUCAUCAAUCCAAUUUCUCACAAGACUCGAAGUGUUGGAUAUGAGUGGUUGCUCAAAACUUGAGAGCCUCCCAGAAAUCACAGUGCCUAUGGAAUCUUUGCAUAGCCUUAAGUUGAGUAAAACAGGCAUUAAAGAGAUACCCUCAUCAUUAAUUAAGCAUAUGAUAUCUUUGACGUUUCUAAAUUUAGAUGGAACGCCUAUUAAAGCGUUACCUGAGCUUCCCCCUUCGCUUCGUUAUCUAACAACACAUGACUGUGCAUCACUAGAAACCGUGACAUCAAGCAUCAAUAUCGGUAGAUUAGAGUUAGGAUUGGAUUUUACAAAUUGCUUCAAAUUGGAUCAGAAACCACUGGUAGCAGCAAUGCAUUUGAAAAUUCAGGUAUCUCUCUUAACCCCCUUGUCUUUCUUUCUUCUCUCUUUAUUGCUUGCUUCAUCACAUUUUCGAAAUGUGACUUUUGUGUUACAGUCCGGAGAGGAGAUCCCAGAUGGCGGUAUUCAAAUGGUACUACCGGGGAGUGAAAUUCCAGAAUGGUUCGGUGACAAAGGAAUUGGAUCUUCACUCACCAUGCAGUUGCCGUCCAAUUGUCAUCAGCUCAAGGGAAUUGCUUUCUGCCUUGUCUUUCUACUCCCUCUUCCCUCCCAUGACAUGCCUUAUGAAGUCGAUGAUGAUAUUGAUGUUAAUUUAUAUCUUGAUUACCAUGUUAAGAGUAAAAACGGUGAGCAUGAUGGUGAUGAUGAAGUCGUCUUAGCUUCCGGGGAAAGAUGUCAUCUAACAUCUAAAAUGAAGACAUGUGACUCGGAUCACAUGGUUCUACAUUACAUGGCUCUACGUUACGAGCUCGAAUUGGUAAAUCGUUUACGUAAAUAUUCCGGCAAUGAAGUUACAUUUAAAUUCUACCACCAUGAAGUGGUCAACAUGGCGAGGAAGGUAGGUAAUGAGAUCCAAAGGCCUUUCAAGUUGAAAAGCUGUGGGGUGUAUCUGCACUUUGGUGAAAAUCUACCGGCGGACACGGACGGGUACAGAUAUUUACCCGUUAACAAACAACGGUUCAGAAGAAAAUAAAUUGAGGGAGAAAUAAAAGAAAUUGAAAGGGAGAGAGAGUUAUGUAGUUACUGCAAAUUGAUCUUCAAUUAUUACUUGGUUUUCAAGAUAGCUGUAAAUAUUGUUAUUCCCUUGCAACUGACUAACGAACUAACUUUCUGUUAUUCAACUAAUUUCUCAACAAACUGUAACAACCAUCCAUCUAACUAAUGAAUCAUGUGCGCAUUUAUUCUUGCACAUGCAGAAUACUAUAAAUAAGAGAGUAAAAAAGCAAUUCAAUCCAAAUACACUAAUAGUAAACUGAAGGAAGGAUUCAGUUUACUAUACAAAUUAUGAAUCACUGUCCUUGUGCUCUUCUCCACCUUAAUUCACUUGUAAGUUUGGUUUUCUAUUUCUACAAAUAAAUAAAUAAAUAAAUAUAUAUAUAUAUAUACAUCUUUGAUUUCUAUUUACUAACCAAAUUACGAAAACUUGUUUGUCUCAAGCAAUAAUUAACCAUCAAACACUAAAAGAAUAAUUAACCAUCAAACACUAAAAGAACCAACUUUUUCAUGGGUUCAUAUCAGCAUUAAUUCAACCAAUUCUUUUCUAAAUUGCAAGCCUAACCAAAUUGAGAUGCAUUCUGCGAGCGUAAUUCACAAUUAGAGGCAAGAUCAAGAAAACGCAGGAUGUAGCUCUCCCUCUCUGUGAUGAAACUUACUGAUGAAACUUUCGGUGGGCUUAGAGGCAAGAUCAAGAACCAACUUUAUCAAAAAUCACAGGAGCCACUAAAACCCAUCUUUCGAAAAACACAAUUAACUGAUAACAAAUCUUAUGCAAUGUAUUAUAUAAAUCUCCACUUUCAAAUUGAAGUUACAAUCAUCUUCCACAGUUAUCAUAUUCUCAAUUGUUUGGCAAACAUAAACAACAAAAUAUAAAAAAAUAUAACCAGUUAGUUGUUCCGUGACUAAUGAAGAAACCAAGUUGUUCCGUGAAUUCACAAACUUAAAAGUUGUUCCGUGAAUUCACAGUUUUCCUAUCUACUGGGCACUCUUCCUCUUUUCCACGCCUACGCUAUAACUAAUUCUCCGCUUGUAGACGCUGGAUGAGACCAGAAGAGGGCAUCUCUGAUCUACCGAUUCACCACUGAACGGCUUUGGCUUUCUUCUUCCCUAUAUAGUAAAAGAUCACUUGGAUUACGUUCCUGAGAGGCUGAGAUACCAGAUCUCUUGGUUUUUCAAACUUUAAAGAAAGAAAUUAGGGCAGAAUACAUGGUUCUUUACUUCUUUGCUUUUGCUAUUAGUUAAGUUAAUACACGCACAUACAUGCUGGGUCUCGCCCGGGUCAACCGCGUCAUGGGUCGACUCGCUGAGUUCAUCGAGUUUUGCUGGUUUUUUAUAAUUUUUGGUUUUUUAUCUAAUUCGAACUGAUUCAAACACCAAAUCAACUGGGUUUUAGGUUGACUCACUGAGUCGGUCCGGGUUUAAUAAGCUUAGAAUCUCUUAACAAAAUUUAAAAAGUCUGAAAAUUAAGAGCUUUUUUACCAGGUUGAUUACUCUGCGGAACCUAUACCUCUACUUAGAUUUAGCCAAGUGAUCCAUUGCUUGUUGAAGGCUGAAUUGCCGACAGGCUUCGGACUUGAUAGUUUGUUGGAUAGACUACCGAUUCCGGUAACUAGUCUAGCUUUGAUGUCUUGUUUAUGUUCAUUUCACUAGUUACCAUGGUCAUGUCCAACAACUUGGUGAAGGCCCCAGCAUGACUCAGUGACGGCAAGGCAAGGAAAAUUAGGGAAUGAAUUAGGCAAACAUUCUCUUUGCCUAAUUCAUUACAUUAUUAAUAGCACUCCUGUGUUGGCGUUCCUGAGCACAUGAUAUCAAUGCACUUGAUUAGAGAAAUGUACAAAACUUGUUCUUUUAUCUGGUAUUAACAUACAAAAUUUGUUUUCCAAGAGGUUAGCACUGAUAGAAUGUUUCUUAUUCUUUGUACAUGUACAGCUCAGUUAAGUUAUCAGAAUUAUACACCACACUCCAGUAAAUGCCGCCUCGAUGCCUAUGCUUCUGAAAGAUCUACUUUCUCAUUUAAUGGAGUCACUGAUUCAGGUGAUGGAUUCUGAACUUUAGUUUCAGAUGGUUGGGAUUCAUGCUUUGCAGCAGCUUUCAGCCCCCGGUUUUGAACAUCUGAAGAUGAAGGUGAUGUAGGUAAAUUUCCAGUUUUCCUGCUGCACAUGAAAAUGCCUGGACUCCAAGUCUAACAGAAGAGAGCAAACGCCUUCAAAUAAGCAUUUGAAAUCCGAGUUAAUCAAGAUCUCGACAAUCCAAAAACUUGGUUAAACAUGAUCCAACAAGUGAAAAGAAUCUAACUGUGAAAAUGAUUAAAUAACUUCUAAAUGUCUGGUGGAGGUUAGGAAAUAUGAACCUUGAUACUGU
Molecule: long non-coding RNA, 63882 nt
Filed under: Populus trichocarpa (black cottonwood)
Lineage: Eukaryota; Viridiplantae; Streptophyta; Magnoliopsida; Malpighiales; Salicaceae
Description: long non-coding RNA (PTRI_LNC004246)
Source: RNAcentral